Molecule: long non-coding RNA, 57901 nt
Filed under: Eutrema salsugineum
Lineage: Eukaryota; Viridiplantae; Streptophyta; Magnoliopsida; Brassicales; Brassicaceae
Description: long non-coding RNA (ESAL_LNC000464)
Source: RNAcentral
CGGUUACUGCUGGGCACUUCAUUGAUAACCACAUCGAAUUCGGUUUGCUCUUCCACAACCGCCGCCGCACCACCGUCUCCCGGAGCAGCCACAGCCGCCGCAGCAGGAGCUAGAGAGAGUGGUGAGACACCGAAUUUAUCCUGGAGGUAAUCGACGAGGAUGCGUGCUUCUUCUAGGGUCAGAGACGAGAUCUCGGAACCAAUCUUCUCGAUUUUCUCUGGAGCUUCGACGGCGGCGACGGGACGGAGGUUGAUUGCGCGGUGGCUGAGCGUGGAAGAAGAAGCGCCAAAGCGAGCCGGGAAUUCGACUCCGGUGGGUCGGGAAGGAAAGCGAUGGACGGAAGCGAGAGUGGGAGAAGAUGAUGAACGGAUUGAGCUUGCGAUGGAAAGAGUCGUCGCUGCCAUUUUCGCUCUUCCUCUUGGGAUUUGUUUUGUGUGUCUCUCUGAGUGUGUUUGUUGGGAUAGAUGGAGAAGAUGAGAGGAUAAAAAAACCAAGGAUAAGGGGUAAUUUGGAAAAUAUAAUAUAUGCGUACGCUUGCUGUAUUAUGCGCGUGUAUACACACCAUGGGACUUAAAAGCAAAAAGGGGCGUUCCGAGAAUCGAACUCGGGACCUCUCGCACCCAAAGCGAGAAUCAUACAACUAGACCAAACGCCCUCGUUGAUAUAUUGAGCCAUUUUUCUACUAAGUCCUCAAAAAUAUUCAGAGUUUGUAGUGGAACUGUGGAACAUUCUCCAUUUCAAAAGAAGCAUAUACAUAAUUGUAUUCAGAUUUUAUACUAGUGUACUCGCAUUGAUAGCCUACUAAUACCAAUGUUGAUGGACACCUAAUCUUUUUCAGCUUUCUACAAUAUUUGUUGCUUUUGUUUUCGCAUCUGUAGUCUAAUAGAACGUUGUAAAAUCUUAGAGGAAUGCCUUCUCUGCUUCAAAGCAGAACAACUCUUUCUUCAUUCUGCUUUAUAUGAUUGGUGAAGACAGCUACUUUGGAAGCCAUGCAUGUCUCAUAUAGUCAAAAGAGUCAUACUAUGUUCAUGUCUCCUAAAUCCGUGUAUGAGUAUGUGACUUCUCCCAUUUCCUAUUUGAAGCUAGGCAUUUCUACAAACAUGUUAUCUACUUAUCUGCAGUUACUAAAGAAGCACCCUACAAUGGCUAAAUCCCUUUUCGGAAUCCAAAUUGAUUCACAUUACAAUAAUUUCUCAAACCUGAAUCAACAAUCCCAGACGCAAACUAUGCUAAACAACACCAAACAAACAAAAAACGUUCCAUAAAAUUCCACAAAAGAAGAACACUUUUACAUUUCCGAAUUUCAAGAAGUUUAAGCAAUGGAAACCUUAGCACCAGCUUCUUCAAGCUGCUUCUUCGCUUCUUCAGCUUCAUCCUUCGUCACACCCUCCUUGAACUUCUUCGGCAACCCUUCAAUGAGCUCCUUGGCUUCCUUCAACGCCAAGCUAGUCAAAGCCCUUACCGCUUUGAUCACUGCAAUACGGUUACUGCUUGGCACUUCGUUGAUAACCACAUCGAAUUCGGUUUGCUCUUCCACCACCGCCGCCGCACCACCGUCGCCCGGAGCAGCCACAGCCGCCGCAGCAGGAGCUAGAGAGAGCGGCGAGACGCCGAAUUUAUCCUGAAGGUAGUCGACGAGGAUGCGGGCUUCUUCGAGGGUCAGAGACGAGAUCUCGGACCCAAUCUUCUCAAUUUUCUCCGGAGCUUCCACGGCGGCAAUGGGACGGAGGUGAGUUGCACGGUGGGUCAGUGUGGAAGAAGAAGCACCAAGGCGAAAGGGAAAUUCGAUUGCGGAGGGUCGGGAAAGGAAGCCAUGGGGAGCGGAAGCGGGAGUGAGAGAAGACGAAGAGCGGAUUGUGGUUGCUAUGGAAAGAGUCGUCGCUGCCAUUUUCACUCUUUGAACUCUUCGGAUUUGUUGUGUGUCUCUCUGUCUGUGUUGCUAAAUUGUGCGAGAGACGAAGAAGAUGAGGAUAAAAAAAACCAAGGAUAAGGGGUAAUUUGGGAAACUCAAAAAUACUAACCAUUGCUAUUGUGCACCUAUACACAUCAAGGAAGUUGUACCGUUCAUAGGUUGACGAAAAUACCCUUGAGAAAGGUAAAUAAAUUAAAAUGGGCCAUUCGGAAAAUCGAACUCAUCACCUAUAUCAUAAAUAAUGACAACGAAGGGUCACAAAGACUUUUGAAUAUAGAGUUCACAGUGAAACAAUUUCCCUUUUUCUUUUUUUGUCAACAACUUUGUAGUGGAAACAUUCUUUUAAUUCAAAAGAAGCAUAUAAUAAUCGUAUAUGUAAAUCACAUCGUGUUGUUUCGAUUUCUCCCUUCUAUAUUUUUCCCACCAAUGCUACAAACAAGAGCAAAUCCCAUUUCCUAUGAAUCCAAAAACCUCCCACGUGUUUAAAAGGCCUGCAAAGAGGUUUUUCACCAUCUACGGCGUCUCCUCCCAUACCAAAACGCAAACGCAGCCACAGAUGCAGCAACAACGACUCCAGUCGCCGCGUGCCAUAUAUGCAAAGGCUUCUCCACCAUCACCACUCUUGAACACUGCCUCGCCAUCUCUGAGCUCGGAACUUCCUUAACUUCCGGAACUAUAUGCUGACUCACCACGGUCUGAGCAAACCCAAGUCCUUCUCUUCCCAGUUCUUCCAAGUCAGUCACAGCUGGUUUCAACUGUGUCGCCUUUGAGAUAGUUUCGUAUUCUUCUUUAGUCCCUCCUUCAAGAAAAGACCCAACGAGGUGACCUUUUUUAACCCAAUAUGCUCCAAAGGCUUUACCGACUUCAUACUCCCCAAAGUGCACAACUUCACCUACAGGGUCUCCGUAGAACUGCCACGAGAAGGCAAAGACCCUUGAGUAGAAAAACGGCAAGAGGUCAAAAUCUCCGGUCUUUUCUGGCUCCAUGAUGGCUGAAACUGCGUGGCGUGCAGAUUUCCUAGCCGAGUCCACAUGCUCAAGCCUCCUCGUUUCGCCAAAUAGUUUCACUGGAAAUGUAGCUACAUCGCCUAUUGCAUACACCGAGCUGUCACUUGACUGCAUUUUGCUGUUCACUUUUAUACCACCUUUCUCUAUUGUUAGCUGUCCUUCAAACAAGCUUGUGUUUGGUCGUAUUCCAAUUCCAACCACGACCAAAUCUGCUGGUAACUGGUUCCCAUCUUUGAGAUUAACCGCCGUGACCUGCAAUUCGAAAUCCCAAAAAGAGCAUAUCAAUAAACAAACACAGCGAACAAUGCUCAUGAUUCUUUCCAUCAUGGGAUCAGGAGACUCCGUCGUUGUAUUGAUUCUUUCCAUCUUUUAGUUCUAUACAUAGAUGCAAAAAACCAGACAUCUUUCAAGUUGAAUCUCAAGCUUAAAAAAAAAAAUAUAUCUAACCUUUUUAUUCGAGUCAAACUCAAAUGAUGUCAAAACCGUUCCUUUGAUGAAUUUCACUCCUUUAGCCCUGUAGUAAUCUUCAUACAAAGUUGCAAUCUUGGGCGUAAAGAGACGCGCCACUGUCAUAAGAAACUGAAAAAGGUCAAGCCAACCACACAGACACAAGCUUUCUCUUUUUUACAUGUAAGUUGAGUAAUAAUGGAGAGUACUUACUGCAGUGAGCCUCUGGAAAAACCAUGGUCACAUUGAUCUUGUUGAUCACUAAAGAUGCAGCACACUCCAUGCCGAUAUAGCCACCACCGAUAACAACAGCAUUACCAUUGGAGCUUGAUUGGAUCGCAGUGGAAAGCCUAUUUGCGUCGCUCAGAUCUCGUAAGUAACAAACAUUUUCAGCAUCUGAGCCUUCCACCCCAAAUUCUUCGAGCUUCAACGGCUGCUUCCACAUGUGACAAUAAUAAGGCCACGACUUUAGCAGUUCAAAGCUCUAAGCUUUAAAAUAGUACAAAUUCCUUUAAAAUUGUCCAGGAUAGAGCAUAUUUGCCAUAUCAGUGUUCACAGCAUCUAAUAGACGUUCCAGUAUUACAGAUCCAUUGACUUCAGUCCAUUUAAGACUCUAGUGAUAAUAAGUAAUAACAGAUUGUAACAUCUCAAAGACGAUAAUAUGAUGGUGAGAACCAGUAAUUUAUCAUAUACGUUAAUGGCACCUUCUCACCUGCAGACGCUCUUACUUCGGAAAAACGAAAUCAUAUAUAUUAUUGUGCAAUCCAUACCCUGGCACCUGUUGCGAUGAUCAAGAAUUUGUAACUUAUAGUCUCCCCGGUGCUCGAUAAAAGAGUCUUCCUCCUCACAUCAACGGACUUAACACGAGUUCCAAGCACUAAUUCAAUUCCUGACAAGCAAGUCACAAAAUUGUCAGAGCUUACUCUCAUAGUCAUAGCCCAAGUAAAGUAGUACUUUCUCAAAAUUGGAUGUGCACAUGUAGUUACCAUGUUCCUUGUACCAUUUCGGGGUGAGCUUCUCAUCAUUAGCCCCAACACAAGUGUGGAAAGAAGGAAGGCGUGCAGGAGCUGCAGAUAAGAUCGUGGGUUAACCCUUACAGAGCCUAAUGAGUGAACUAUAACUGAAUCCCUUAGUUCUUGAGAACAUUCUAUACAUCUUAGCUUCCCCAAAUACCAAAAGCAGAAAAACGCAAGCUAUCACGUUUCUCUUACCUUCUGGCAGCAGAAAACCUUUACUUAACGCGGGCCUCUCAUAUGGUGCAACCUAGAGAAACAGAAAAUGCAGAAGCUAAUUACUUACAGAGGGAAACACAUCAUAUCCCUUUUCCUCCCUCUUUAAUAUUGAUUCACAACCAAUACUUUAUAAAACAAGCAGUGAAUGGAAAAACAUGAAUCACAAAUCAGAAGCAUUUCUUCCAUAGAGAUUCGAGGACUGUUUGCCUGUUUGGAACUAAUCGGUAAAACCAUAUCCAGAGCAUAUGUCACCAUAUUUGGAGGCUAGACGCUAACAAUGCAUUGAUGUGCUAUUAGACAUGGCGAUACUCGAUAUUCUUAGUCCAUGUAUUGAAUCUUGCAAGCUACUCUUUAAUUACUUUAACUUCACCAAAUGCCUCAAUAUAAUACAAAUUUCCACCGUAUCUUCAGUUUCAGUGAGAGAAUUCCAAGCAUGAGUUGCAAUUAAGACUCGAUGUAGAGAACUGAGAAUUUCAAGAACCUUGUGCAAAACCCAAAUCUUUAUGGAAAUCCACACGGAGUUCGUAUAGUAGCAUUACACCCUAUUAGUAUAAAGUAAGAGAAAAACUCUAGCGAUAAGAGACAAAAGAGAUAGAGACAAGCCUAACCAAUUUCAAUCUAAUAACACCAUCAAACCACCAAAUUUUAAAACGAGGUCAAAAAGAAGAAACUUUCAAUUAACACUAAGAAUUCCAAAACCUACCGAUAGUAAAACCAACUACAGAGUCACACUAAAAAUCCAGGUGAGAGAGCUAAUAUAUACUUCCUCAGAUGAAUCAGUAAAGGACCCACCAAGAACAACAAGAAAGAAAAAGCAAAUCAUAGAUAAAUUUCUUCUCGCUAUCAAACAAUAAAACUCAAUUUUUUUACGGGAGCUUACGGGUUCUUCGGAAAUGAUGCAGAGUUCGCCAUCGGAGACACCUCUCCGCGUGAAUUCGAGAGCUGCAUAACCAGCAGCAACACCUCCUCCGAGAAUCACAUACACGAACGCUCUUCCCAUCUCGCUUAGUUUCUCGUGAAAAUCCUAAACAUCUACGUAUAUGUAUUCUAGUGAAUGGAUUUUGUUUUUUAAAAAUAAUUUUCCCGAUAAAAUAAUUUUUUGAGGCACACAGAAUAGGAAUUUUUUUUUCUGUUAUCGGAUCUUUCCCACCAGUGAAUGAAACUCGACGAUUGCAGUGUUCAUUUACAAUUGUACCCCUCUUUGACUUCUUUACUAACGAACGGUGGAUGUUAAUGUUAAACAAGCGAUUACACAAGAUCUCGACCGUCCAUUUCUGGAGAAAGUUGUCACAGUGGGACCCAGUUUAGCUCUUUGCUUGCACGACUUGCUUGGCCCAUCAUCAUUGGUAAAAUGAUAAUAAUAUAACAAAUAUCAGAUCGUCAGAAUGAAAUCUGAUAAUAUGUUGAACAGAUUAAUACAAGUAAUAUAUAGAUGCAUGCAUCAAAGUUAUCCACAUCCACCUCCAAAUCCCAACUAUGCACAUAGUUUUUAUUCUCUUAUAAAUCACAAAAUCACAAACUGUAGACUUGGAGAUGUAAACAAAACAAAAAAAAAAAACAAAAACAUGUGACGAAUGAUAGUUAGCCGCGUGGCAAGACCAUGAGGUAGUUGGUAUUGGGAAGUGUGGUCGAGAUGAGGAUAUGAUGCCCCGAGAAUUCAAUCCAAAGCGUUAAAAGCGAAUUUUUUAUAUAUGUCGCAAGACAAAACCAAACUUUUAUCUUAGACUUGUUGGUUGGAGUUUUUUUUUUUUUUUUUUUGUGUUAUUGUUGGUUGGAGUUUUUCCAUUUCUCUGCCAAGUGGCUCUAUACAGGUAACUAACUAUUCUCUAUUUUAUCGAACUCUCUCCGUUUUCGCUAGAAAAAAAAAUUCUUAUUUUUUUUUGUUUCAUAAACAUAAUAGUUUUUACUUUUAUAGACUUUCUUAUUAACAACAAGGCAUUUAUGUAUUUAUUUCUUAGAACACGUUAAUGUAAGUUUUAAGCUUUUUAUGGUGAUGAGAUUGUGUUGACUAUUGAGUGCUAAGUAUGUUACAAAGACGAAGAAACUAAAAAUCCUCUGGUUCAGAACAUAAAAAUAAAUGCUCAAUCGGGCUUACCCUUUGGGUUCUUCUGCCAAUAUAUAUAUGGGCCUUCUCUCACAUGCAGGCCGUAAAUGUAAAAGACACAGCACAGUGUAAACAACCAACAAAAUAUAUAGUUUGUUUCGGUUGUGAUAAAACAAACAUAAACGCCUUAAGUGAUAAAACAAUCCAAAUUUCCACAGAUUUCAAAAAUUAUUUUAGGUGUUGGAGGGUUUGCCAAAUUAAAAAAAAAAAAAAACAUCAUUGGUAAUUUGGUAUAUAUAUAGAGAAGGGCCGAACAUCUCCUAGAUAAAAGUCUUGAGACAACUGACAGUCGUAUGAACCAAUUUAAUUGUCUUUUCUAUGUAAAUGAUUUAAUCAUUAAUUACAGCUUAUUUAACUAACAGCCCGGUAAUAAUCAAAAUCUUGUUACGCAGAUGAGCAGCCGACUUCAACAUUAACUGAGGAUAAAGAAAGUUAAAAUAUGUCAAACUCAUCAACACGGGAAGAAAAUGGUUUAUGCUAUAUAUAGAAAGUACAGCUAAGGCAUAAGGCUAGAACAAUGCACAAGCAAAUAAAUGAACGAAACAAAAGAGAGGAUAAAAAACCCAAUUCCUCCACGUUUAUUUAUGUGUAAAUUAUCAACCACUUGUAUAUAUGUUUGUGACCGACCUGCCAUGUGAUUUUUCCUUUAUAAUUCACAUGGGAAGUCGACAAUUCCCACAUGAUAAACACGUUGGCGUAAUAAAAUAAAUAAACAUGCGGCCCAAUUCCAUAUUAAUUCUGGUUAUAAAAUAUAAUAUAAGCAUGUAAUCUGGAUAUAAUUAAGAUACUAUAGAUUAGUCUGAGAUGUAUAUUUUAAUAUAUUUUGUUUGAUAAAUAUUGAAAACUCCAGAAUCUGGUUCAUAAGUUUUUUUUUUGUCCGGAUCAACCAUUGAUAAUACCACAUUUAAGACGUACAUAUAUAACUAGUGAUUUUGGAAACUCCCAGGUCCCAAGUACUACUAGACCACUUCUCACUUGGUUUUAUAUUGAAAUCUAAAAAUAAGAACGAGAAGAAAAAAAACUCAUUUCAAAAUACUUGUUAAAAAAUUCUUACAUCAAAAAGUAAGACACAAAAUAUAUAAUAGCUAUUGAGGCUGAAAGCAGUUGAGGUUAUAUGCAUAAAUUCGUCUAUUGUGUACUUUAUUAUAUGACAUUUAAUAAAUAUGAUAUUUGAUCUAAAAACCAAUUUAUGUUUUUAGACAUAAAUAUCUAAUUAGAUCAUGCAUAUUUCAAAAAUUCAAUCUUUAAAUAUUCCCGGAGCAAGUGAUCGCUUAAACAUGUAUGUCUCUCAUUUAUGUUUAUUCUAGUUACAAACUACAAACAUAAAUUAUAAACUUUUCUCAAAAAAUAAACAUAAAUGAAAAAUGUUUUGUUAUAGAAAAAUAGUUUAGAAUUCGAAUGACGACGUAAAGACCAGACGGUCCAGACCGGAAAAGAUAAUGCAUGCAUUGGACCAUUGGUUCGUUCCUUGCUACAAUGCACUAUUGUUUGUUCCGUUUCCUUUUUUACACCGCCGCAAUAUAGAUCUCAAGGAGUAUAAAACAUGAAAAUAGUUUUUUCAUUUUUAUAUAUUAAAAAUCUACCCUAAAAAAUGAAGACGCUACAAGACUACAAGUUAUAAGUGUAUUCGCGCUCUUUUUAAAAUUAUAUAUAUAUAUAUAUAUAUAUAUCAAAUUCAAAUUCAAAAUAUAUCAAUUAUAUAUAUAUAUAUAUAUACAUUGCCCGUCAAAAAUGAAAUAUCAAUUAUUCCUAUUCUAGCCAAUGCAUAGAGAAGAGGAAGUGGAGUUUGGAUUUAUCCUCUACACAUGCUUCGUUUGGACAAAAUGUGUCGCUGGCAUAGGACUUAAAGCUAAGAAGUUCGGUAAAGCUUAAAUGCUUUUGCCGUCUUGCUAUAGUGCUUACACUCCCCCACCUAACAUCAUGUCUAACAACCAAUUACUCAUUUUAUGUUGAUAAUAAACCUAUAAAUAUAAAACACAUAUAAUUCCAUGAAUAAUAUAUCUCAGAUAGUCGACUCAUAUUGGCUUUUAUAUAUAUAUAAUUGCGGCUCAGUUACUGAUUACGUUCCUAGCUCAUCGUAUCUUAUUUUUUGUCCCAUGUUGGUAUAUAUCUAUUUUAGGUGUAAAUAUUUAUUGUUUUGAAUCAGGAUGAACAAUAAAAAGAAGAAUAAAUUGUUCCUUUUUCCUUUUUUUCUUAAAAAACAAAUCGAUAUCUUCGCCUUAAAGGUUGUGGUUUUGGCUAGUGGAGUUAGGCUCACGUUGGGUUCUACAUGUUGAAUGGCGAUGCACAAAAAUGGAUAAAAAUUGCUGAAUAAAGGCAAGGACAACUGUACCGAAAGCUAUCUAUUUUUAGCCCUCAUCUGACACGUGUUUUAUUAUAAUUGGUGAGAUUAGGUUCUGUAUGUUUAUGUCAUGUGAUAUGUAUAUAAAUCGAUCCACAUGUAUAUGUAUACACACGCAACUCAUGUGUUCGUGAGUGCAUAUAUAUGGACGAAGAAUCAGUUCGUCUCGAUUACCAUACGCUUAAAAUAAUUAUUCUGCUCUGUUUAAAUUUUUAUUUUCUUACGUCUUCCGAUGUUUUAACAUUACAGGAAGAAAAGUUGUUUAUAAACUGUACGUAUAUAUGUUAACUUAGAUUCAAAUGUGCUUAAAUCAAUUCGUCAAUGAGUAGUUGUAUGUUCUAUAACGUUAAGUAUGCGGGUAAAAGGUUUUGUUUAACAGAACUACCACACUAUUAUAGUACUGUAUAUGUUUGGGAUGGUAAUUAGGGGGAAAAAUCCCUUUCAAAAAGGUACAUUUAUACCAUGAUUGACGCAAUCAUUUGCAAAUCCAGUGGAUCACAUAACUCUUAGAAUACGCAUAUACAACCAUUAUAUAUGUCAACGGGAUCAAUUACUUUCUCAGUUCAUGAAUAUUGAUCAUGUUAAUUAUUAUUUUUAUUUUUGGUAGGAAAUGUGAUAUGUUUUGUUAGCUUUUAGACAAUUGCAACAGAAUUUCCAAACUCCCCCUAUAUAAUUUUUAAUUGCUUUUUGGAAAGAUUAUUCUAAAGCACAAUAAAAAAAUAAUAACAAAUGGAUUUUAAGGAUAGUUAGACGUUUUCAAUGUUGGUUAAUGUGUAAAAGCUACAAUAAUGUAUUAAUGUAUAUCGGUAUGGAACAGAGGGAAAUUAUAAACAAACGUUAUAUAAAAAAUAAAUUAAUCAUGUGUAAAAAUUAAGUAGCUAGGUUCUCAUAUAUACAAUCUUAAGAUAAAUUAUUUUAUUCCUACGAAUAAAAAAUCAGAAGAAUAAGUCACCCAUUUCAGUUUUAUUUAUGUAUAACAUCAAACGGGGUGCAAUAAAGUUCAAAACAUAUACCAUCCAAGGAUUUAGAUAAUUACCACCAUAUAUAAAAUUUAUCCCAAAACCUCUAAACAACGAGGCAAAAACCAUAUACAUGUCACGUACGAGUCAUAUUACUCCUAAAAAUCACAAAUCUCAAAAUAAUAUAUAUUUCAUAUAUUGUUUUCCGAUAUGGAUCGAGACUAUAAUUGAUAAAUCAAUUACCAUUGAGUAGAUGCAUCGAUGACCAAAUAUCAUCCAUGCCCCAAUAGUUUUCACCGGUUUGAUCAUCAACGGUCAUCGGUACCGAAUAAUCCGCUGUUGCAGUUGCCCCUGCCGUGGAAUAAUUUCCCGCUGAAUAGUUACCGUAGUUGAAUUCCAUAUUGGUAUGUUGAUACGACGUUGUUGUAGGAGAAUAAGUCUCCAUCGCUUGAUCUUGUGUACAAAAGACAUUAUGGCUCGUUGUGCUUGCAGCUUGAUCGUUGAUUUCUGAGCUCUGAUGAGAUCCAACGGAUGACGUCGUUGUUGUUGUUACAUCGGUUUGUUUGAUGUAUUUUUGGAUUCUUGUCCUCCAAAAGUUUUUGAUCUCGUUGUCGGUUCUUCCUGGAAGGUGUUUAGCAAUUUUUGACCACCUGUUCAUAUAAUUUAGAGUCAAUUAAUUAAUGACAUAACUAUAUAGAUUAUUAAUAUAAGAUUUGAUGAGCUAAUGAUUGUGUGGGGUUAGAAAUCUAAUCCGUGACUGCAUCGGACCAAGUACGUUAAGAUGAAUCCAAAACAUUAAGGUUUGCGUCUAUUUCAAUUAUGCUUUUCCUUUUUGUCACUAGACUUUUUACUUUUGUACUAUAUAUUAUUGCAUGUACUAUGUUUGGAUCUUUGUAAAAAAAAACAGUUCUUAAUAAUUUUGUUGUGCUAAUAAGCCUUACAAAGUUUAUUGCUUAUUCUUUAGUUAAAAGCGUUACUUUUUUGUUUGUUUAUUAAAAGGAUUUGUAAAGCGGAAUUUUAUGAUUUAGUAAAUGCUUCCUAUCAAAAAAUUUUUUUUUUAAGAUAUCAGAAAGGUGAAACUAGUUUAAAACCAGGAAAAAGGUUAUAAAGAAAAAAAAGUAAAACUCUAAUUCAAGAAUUAUGAAGAUUUAAAGUGUAAAUAUCAUUUGGCUGCUAAAGUCCUUUUUUGAAAGAUUUUGACAGGUAUGAUAAGGUCUUGACGGCUUGACCUAGACCUAAUAACCUAUUACACUUUUCCGUAAUUAGUAUACACAAAAGGAGUUAACUGUAGAUAAAAUGAUAACUUAAUCGCACUUACUUGAAAAAUGCGAUACUUUUUAUUGAAUUACAGAAUCAUGUACCUUGUAAUCUUGGGCCAUAUUUUCCAGCUCUUUGCAUAUAAAACAAAUAAAAAUUGAAAUUCGGAUAAAACAAAACAGACAAGGAAAUAAAUAAAGGCGCGUACAUAUUUCAGAAACGUGGGAAAUCACUUGAUAAUUUCGAGAGACUUAUAUUCCUUUAUAAAUCAUUAAGAAAAAUAUCUGGAAAAAUGUAGCCACGAGUUUCGAUUAAAAUAGGCACGAGGUUUUCAUGUUGUUCUUUAUAAAAAGCACGAGGUUUAAUGUUAGUGGCUAGAAAAUUUCGACACGUGCAAAUACCUCAGAACUAACGGCUAAGAACAAACUUCGAUCAAAGGGUGUCACAAUGGAAUUAAACGCUUUUUUGAUUUAGUCACCAAAUGUGUUGCUUUAUUGUCUUUUCAAAGAUCUACGUGGCAUAUAGCCUCAAGAGUAUAUAAAGGAUUCAAUAUUCGAAGAUUUUGCCUUUGUUCUUUAAUUCUUUCGUUACACAUAGUGUAUGUGUAUCUAUGUCCGUGUCUACAUUCAUUUAUGUAAAUUGAAACUAACCUAUUUCCCCACUUAGCAUGAAGUUCCAUGAUGAUAAGUUGCUCCUCCGGCGUGAUGUUUCCCCGUCGUACGUCCGGGCGGAGAUAGUUCAGCCACCGGAGCCGGCAACUUUUUCCGGUUCGUUUUAGACCUAUACAUUCAUAUAAUCAAUCAUCACAAUCAAUAAUUAACUCGUACGUAUGUGGAUAUCCCCAUAAUUGUAAUUAGCACAUAUGUGUAUAUAUAUUAUAAUCAUGCAUGCUUAUCAAAACAAAGUUAUAGAUUUUUUAUCAUCUUACAUACUUUUGUUUUAUCAUUCCAUUGUAAGAUUAACGUCUUUGAUUUUUUUUUUUUUGGAUUUAGAAAUAUUCUUUAUCAACAAACGAAUAAAAGAAAUCAUUACUCGUUUCUUAUCUAUAUAAAAUGAAAUAAUAGAUAAUAAAAAUAUAAUAUCGAUUAAUAUGUGUAUAUAUAUAUAUAUAUUUAUGGAAGAGACGACAGAAAGAAAAAUAUAUGAGGAUACCUUUGCAUGUUAAGACAAAACCCUAGUUCAUUAUAUUAACAUAUAUACAACGUAAGAGAUAUAUAUAUAUAUAUAUGUGUGUGUAUACAUGUUAUUGUGCUUAAAUAUAAGUGAAAUCUUGAUUUUAAAAAAGAUUAAAUGAACCUGCAGAUUUCGCGAGAGAGUUCCAAACGCCAUCUCCGUGGUUUGCAAUAUAGUUGAUGAGAAUAAGAUCUUCUUCCAUCGUCCAUGGUCCUUUUCUCACCUCCGCUUCACUUGAUGAUCCCGAACCUCCACUACUUAUUCCUCCUCGUUUCUCCAUUUUAUUCUUAUUUAUUUAACUAUCAGCACGAUCUAGUUUUAUAUAAUUUAUAUCUAGAGAGAGGAAUAUGAAAGAUGAGAGUGUAAGAGAGAAGGUUGAGGUGAGUUGAUAUUGAAGGUUGUGGAAGGUGAGCUACUGCUUUUAUAGAGACUAAAUUCACCGCGUGAUUAGCAACCCUUAAUCCAAAUUCUUAAUUAAUUAUGUAUUACAUUAGCUUAAUUUUUUCAAUUAAUCACAAUUUUUUUUCUUUCAUUUUUUGGAUUCAUUUUAUAUUAAUAAGUACAUGGGACUAUAUAUAAUACAUUAAAUUACCUAACCAUAUACAAUAACAUAUAUAGUUUCAUAUCAUCCAUAUGUCCAUAUGUAUAUAUAUAGGCUAAAGAGUGAAGAAAUUGAAGUCUUUGAUGCAUUCAUGCAUGGAUGAUGUAAAUAUAUAUACAUGCAUGCAUUGCUAAUUUAGUUUCACAUACAUAAGCAUGCUUCUUUAUGUGUAGAAAGUAUACCAACUCAUAUUGUUUUCCAUUUAACCGUGUAUAAAGUUAUUCAUUUAGGAGUGUAACGUGUUUAUGUGUUGUAUGUGUAUGUAUAAAACGCUAGUAUUAGGUUCCAUUGUAAUUAAAACCAAAGACACAUCAAUGUGUUAAGAGUACUUAAGAACAAAGCCAAUCAACAAACGAUGACGAAAAUUCAGUAGUAUCAUCUUUUUGGUUUAGAGUAGCAGCCGAUUUCUACAAUACACAAUUUUUCUGAUACUACGAAACAAGUACUUACCGGCAGCACAUUUUACUUUGGAUUGAGAUAUAUGUGAUCACCUAAUAAUAUAACAAACUUACAGUACCAAAAUAAUAUAAAUUAUUCUAAAAAUACUUGUUUGUCUUAGCGAUAUUAAAACACUAGAUUUGAAUACUCCUUUUUAAUUUAAGAAUUGUAUUCUACUAUUCUCUCAGUAGAUAUGAGUUUUUAGUCAUUUUGAUUUAAAUUUCUGUUAGUAGUGGAACAUUUUAAUAUGAUUGUUAUUUUGGAAACCAAAACUUAUUUGAAAUUUUGUGAAAGGUAUAGUUUAAAAUUUUGUGAAAUUUAUCGUUUAUUUUUAAACGGCUGUCUGUAAGUUGAAAAAAAGAGAAGAUUUUAUUUAUAAUUUUUUUUUAAAGAAAACAGUAAGCGCAUAGAACAAAUAUCAUCGCUUUAUUUGUCAAAAUGAUAAUCUUGAUAUAUGCUCAGUUUUCUAAUUUUAUAUGUACAUUAGUAUGAUUUGGUCUAUAGGUAUAAAACGAAUUAUUUACCAACCAAACGCUUAAUUUUGAAUCGGUUUCGCAGUUUUGGUUUGCAUCAGUUUACUUCCCGGCUUAAAGGAUCCGAAGACUUCACGAAUAGACUUGUAUGCCGUUCCAUUCUAGACUUUUAUGUCAGUCUAUUCCUCCCCGUAGCGUAGCGAGUACGCACAACCCUUGAUGUUCUAUAUUAUCGUCACAGGACUCCUUGUCGUUUUUCUAAGUCAACAUCAAUAUUGUCCGUACCUUCAAAUCCCCCUUGACCAAAUAUUAUUUGGUGGUAAUCGUGGUAUAUCUCGGUAAAUUAAUUGGCAGAACAAAUUCACUAUGUACUUCCACAACUCUAUAUGCUUUUGUAGAGGUACUCUCAUAAGGAAUUAGAUAAAGUAAAUUAGUAGAUCACAUUUAAUUGAUCAUGACGCUAAUUAACCUUUUUGUUUUGUUUUGAUAAUAACGCUACUUUACUUAAUCAGCUAGAUGUAACUGAUCCCAUACCCUAUUAGUAAACAAACUAUGAUCAGGACAAAGAAAGUACAAAGAUGGAGACACAAGAAGAUCUGGACCCUCUAAAAGUUAACUCACUCAUAUCCCUAACCAAAUUAAUUAAAAUCCACUUAUCUUAAAAGUGACAAGUGACUAACUCCUAACUUAAUAAAAACCUUUAACAUCCAAAUUAAUCAAUUGAAAUACCCUUCACACUUCAGUUAGCCAAUACUUGCUUUUGUUGCCACAUCCAUGCUCUUUUUUGCGCGAUAACAUGCUUUUAUCUACUUUUUUAAUAUAAAAAAAGUUGUGAUUAGAUGGACUUUGACGUAGCCUGUAUAGAUCUGCCAACGUUAUUGUUUUAGACUUCGAUUUCAAUUGCACUUUCUUUAUUUGUUUCAGCUGCUUAUGUUGUGGGUUUAUUUGAAAAAAUAAAGUACACAAAACGUAAACACAAACAAUGAUGUGUUUUUUUUUCUUUUUUUUUUCUUGUAACAAUACAAACAACGAUGUUUGGAAGUAUAAUUGAUAUGCUUUCGUGUGGUUUUAUUUUAUUUUUACGUUUACUUAAAUGAAAGUUUUAAUAUGUAUACAGUAUGUGAAAUUCUGUUUACAACAUGAAUGACCCGCUUGCGCUUUGAUACCCAACUCCAAAUCGGUACAUAUUUAACAAUUAACAUUUGAGAAGGUAAAUGAUUUAUUGAGCUAAUUCACAAUAUUUUUAAACGAAAAACUAAUAAAUAAAUCCUUUAGAUUUACAAGAGUGAUCGAAACCUCCUCGUUAAAGCAUAGUUAAAGAAUUUCUAUAUUUGAAAGGGCACUUGAUUUGGCGUAUCAUCCCAAAGUUUAAGUACUCUUAAGCCAUUUUUAAGAAAACCCUUUUUGUGUGGCUGCAAUUUAAUUAGGUGGAAACGACUCUUUACUUAAUUACUUCCCUCCUAAGCGCGUCGUAUGCACUUCUCUACUGUCAAGUGUCAACUAUUCACGACAAAUCAGUUUUUUCGUUUCUAUUGAAAAAGUCUAUGUUAAUUGUCUUUGAAUAACAAUAAAAUAAAAAUGUCCUUGCAGUUUUAAAUUUAACUAUACAUUGGUAUUAUCACUUGUGAUUAUUUUAGUACUAGACAAGUAAACAACUAUAAAAUUAAAAUAUCUAUAAUUAUGUAUAAACAAAUGAUUAAAGUCUAGAUAUUCUAUAAAAAUGAAUAGUGAAAACGAAUUAGAAUUCUCCAAACAAAGAAAAUAAAUUACAGAUAUGGACCAGAUAAAUCAAAUAGAAAUUUAUAUACUUUUUUUGAGUCUCAUAUUUAUAUAGGUAAGAGAUUAUAGGAAGAGAUUUUUAUUCUAAAACAUCUUCUUUUUAUAUAAGAUUAAUGACUGGUUUAGUAGCCACCGGCGGUGUAACUACGGAUUUCAAAUCCUGAUUGUAAAUUAGCGCAUCAUCCUUCCAACAUUGAUUAAUUUUGGGGUUCAAAGACAUAUAAAUAUUUUGGUGGCUAAGUGAAUUAAAUGUUUUAAAAAACAUAUUUUUAGUCCACAGUGAAUUACAUUCGUUGUAUAAUUGUAUUACGACUUUUUAUUGCAAUGAUUUUUCAGUUAUUAACUUUUUACAGUGCUGAAUGUCGAUAAUGUAAUCGUUGUUUUUUUUUUUUUUACAGAAAGAAUAAGUGUUUAUCGUACACGCAAGGAAGCGCGUGAAGAAGAGGAAUCUUAAAACAAGCAGAAACUGAAAACGUGGACUCAUCUAACCUUCACAAUAACCAAAUGUUUAAAAAGGGCAAAAGCGUAUUGCUUUAUGUUAUGGAAGAUUUAAUGGAAAGCCACAUAAGUAAGGAAAAAACAAAGCUUAUGGGGUUUAAUGGCAGUGUCAAGUGGCUUAAGCUUCAUUUAUAUGAGUGGCUAUAACAGUGACAAGCAUAAAAUCACCAAUUAGAUGUGCGUGGGGACCUUAAGAGAUGAAGGAACACACGCAUGUGGAUAUUUGAUCCCAACAACUAAUUUUCAUUAACAAAAGAAAUACAACAACUAAUUAAGUGUUUUUUUCUUCUCUGAAUCCAUCCUACAAGUUCUUUUUCUUUAUUUACGAGUGAAUUAGAUUAUAAAUAUUUAGGUAAAUGAUAAUUGCUAGAGUUGUUAUUAGAAAAUAGUAAAAAAAAAUGUUGAAAUUUAUUCUAUGUAGUAUGUACUGUAGAUUACAAUAUUAUAAAUUUGGUAGCAUAUACUAUCACGAAAAUUUUGUGAUAAAGUAGCGGGUUUACGGAUAAGGCAGGCCAAGAAUCCAAUAAGAUGUUGCAUGUAAAUCAAGUACAACCACAAGUUCCAACUUGGCCGAUUGUUUUUAUUUUAUUGCAUUGGACCCAUCUUAAUUAAAUCUUAAAUUCGGAUCCAACGGGUUGACACACGAAUAUUAAACUGUUCUGGUUUCACAGCUAUAACUUGUUCGAUGUGUGUAAGAGAGAGAUGCGGACGCAAAGGUAAUUUCCAAUCUAGGGUUUCUCAUUUAGCACCUCCAUUACCUCGUCCUCUGUUUUCGUCUUCUUCUUGUCAUACAUACAAUUACGUAUAGUUACAUUUAUAAUAUAAUAAAUAGAAAAUAAUUCACAUUUACGGUUAUGACUUAAACGACAAACUCAUCAUAUAUAUCAUUCUACAACUAUAUCAUAUAUUAUCUAUAAUAAAAAAAUUUCUUCAAAUAUGUAUAUUGAUAAAAAAAUAAUUUGAGCCUGCGAGUUAAAGUCUAGUUAACAUUGAACAUUACUAUUUCCCGUCGAUAAACGCAAAUCUUUUUUUUUUUUAUCUCCAUAGAGUUGAGAUAAAUUAGAUUUCUUUGUUCUUUGUUUCGCAAAACAUUUCGAUCUUGAUAUUUAAUUUCUUUUAAAUUUUGUUUUUCUAUACUUUGUAAAACAUAAGCGGAAGCGGAAAAAAUGCUGAAUGUGAUCGCGAACAUACAAACAAUUGAUAAUCUAUAUGUAAAAGCAAACAAAAACACAGUCAAUGCCAAGAAGAAGAAAGAAUAGAAGCAGAUAACAAGCCUUGUCACCAAUGUUGUUGUCGUAUAUUGGCUUACGGUUCCGGUUUACGGUUUCAAUCGUGUAAUUUGGUUUAGUGCUUCCGACCAGGCGCAUUGGGUUAUUAUGGUUUGGUUUAUUUCCCGUUAAGUAAUAUUGUAUUAGAAAAACAAACAACCAAAAAUAUAAAUACAGUUUGAAAAGGUUAAAAAAAAAUGUUGUUGUUGUAAAGCCGGUCGAGACUCGAGACCCUUAUAGAAUAGGCCUUCGUCGGAAGUGGCACAAGUGCUUUGAAUGUACUUGUUUAGAUGAUGACCGAGAGUGUAUAAAUUUUAAAUUCAAGUUUUAUGUUUUUUAUGAUUCCGAUUGAUGAGUGUACAAUUUCAAAUUCAAGUUAUAUAAUUCUAUAUAAUUCUAAAUUCUAUGGGUCCCUAUAAAUCUAUUUUCUUCUAUCGGAAUCAUAAUAGAAUUGUAUUGACCUUAGAAGAUGAGGUUUAUUUCAAAAGGACCCAAACUUUUCUAAACCUUCCUAGUGAUGAAGAGGGUUCGAAGAACUGGUGGACUGCGUGUUGUUUUUUAUGGUAAAGAGAUGAAAAGUAACAAACAUGCCGUUUUUCGGCCAAGUUUUAUGCUGGAUCUAAGGCCUCUUUCCGUACAAGUGGACAUCAUGCAGAGGCCCACAAAAUUUCAAACCUCAGGCCAUGCCACACGCCAAAGGUACUUUCCGGUCUGAUUCCUUGUUGAGAUCAAUAUGUUUUUUUUAUUCACUUAUUAAAUAUAAUCAAUUAAUUUUCACUUAGUUAGUUAGUUGUCUUUGUAUUUAUUGUGGAAAUUUAUAAUUGAUUGAUUGUGUCGUAAAAGAGUUAAAAAGAAAGUUGAAAAAAGAAAAGUUUGUUUAACGGGAUUAAUGGUUAAAGAGAAAAAGAAUUAAAGCAAUGCAACUUUGGUAGCGUGUCUGUUUUGGGUAUAAUUUCAUUGGUUCAAAUCCGAUCAUCGUUGUUCUUAUGGCAUUGAGUAUUAAUUAUUCAGUUACAAAAUCGAAAUUUCUUAUACACUGUUGUCAUUUUAGCUUCUACUGUGUGUGUGUGUCUGUGUGUUUCCAUGCUGUAAUCUUCAACUUUAGAGGAAUUUGAAGUUAUCUCCAUAUAUAGAGAUCCUAUUUUAUAAAUAAUAUAAAUUUUUAUGUAAAACUAUGGACUUUUUAUAGAUACCUUGAAUUUCUAUUAAAAAAUAUGUUCUUUUCCUUAAAAUUUAUCGUUUUGCAUCAUCAUUCAUCCGUUUUUUAGAUAUUAUUUCUUUCCAAGAACUGUAUGGUAAUAAAAAUGAGUACUUAUUAUUAUUCUACCAUUGGAUAUGACAUAUAAUAUCUAGAUAUGUGGCUUUAUAUGCUAUAAAAUUGUCUAUGGCAGAAACAUAAAUGAAAAAAUCUAUAAUAAAGGAAAAAUAAGUAUCACUAAACUUGUCUAUGGCGGAAAAACAAAUAUAAAGGAAAAAUAAGUAUCGAUUCUCCAUGAGGAUCACACAAUUUCAUUUUAAUGCAAGUUUGUGAUGUUAAUAAAAAAAAAGGAAAAAUAAGUAUCACUUACAAUACAACAAACAAAAGUUAAGUAUUAAUGUAAAUUAUUAGAAAUUUGGCUGUAGAUGAUAUUCAUUUUCAAACAUUAAACUUUAACGUUUUUUAAGAAAUUCAAAAUGAUAAUAAAUAAUAAAAUGUAAAUUAUCAAAAAACUAAAUUUUGUGGAUGAUAUAUGUGUAUAAAAAUAUUAGAUGUUUUAUCAUCUUUGAAGUUCUUGGUCAAUGUUUUAGAGUUGAGCCCUGUGGGACCUACUCCGUUUACAGAAAGAAAUUGUGGACUCAAUGUUUUAGAGUUGAGCCUUGUGGGACCUACUCCGUUUACAGAAAGAAAUUGUGGACCCCAUGCACUAUUUCGAACCGUUAGAUUGACAUUACAACACCAAAAAGAUGAUCACACGGCUGGAAAAAACGAUGCUGCUUUCAUGUUCAACACGUGUCCAAACGUGCUCGAGAAUUUUUUUCGCAAGCAUUAGAAAGGUACAAACUACCUUAUAACGACUUCAUGAUUAUUUCAUGACAAGAUUUAAUUACUACUUUACCCUUGGACUAGCAGAUUUUCUUUUGGAAAUAUUUUUCUUAUUCUAAAACAAGUAACCAAAGGCUAGAUUUUUGCCAACUCAUCACUCUUCACAAUUGCUCUGCUCCUAUUUAUAAACUCUUAAUAUUUUACCAUUAGCUUUACUUCUCCCAGCUUUUCCUCUUCCUUAAUUUAAUUGUCAAGCUUGAAUUUCAUUUCAGCUAUCAAUUUGAUUUCUUCAGCAUCCUUUCUUUGCAGUGUAGUUAACUGCUCUUUUCUAAAUCUCUAUGUUCUUCACCAACUCGAUCAUUUCUUAAAAUCUAGUGUUUCUUCUUUCCUUUUCGUAGUUUUUUGUUACUCUAUCUUCUAUUUUCCGUUUGCAUUCUUUGCUUUUUUUUUUCAUCGUAUGGAGUUCGAGUCAGUGAUUAAAAUGCAUUAUCCAUAUCUCGCAGCCGUUAUCUACGAUGAUAAUCUCACCUUAAAAGAUUUCCAUUCAUCUCUUACCGAUGAUGUUUCAUGUAUACAAAAUAUGCAUCAUAAACGUAGCCAGGUUAAUUUCGAUAGGUCACAUCUCCCAUCGACCAUAAACUCCUCUCCUGAUAUUUGUCACAAAAACCAAACAUCGAAGAUCUCAAACACAACCUCCGAUCAUAAUACUCUAAAUCUAAAUAUUGUUCCUAUUCACUUUGAUAUGCAGCCUCAAACAUACGAAAUACCCUCAAAAGAUACUUUUAGAGGCAUCAUUCCAUCUCCAUGCACCGAGGCUUUUGAGGCAUAUCUUCAUGGCAUAUCCAACGACCAAGAUCUCUUCGAUAUGGCCUAUAGCACCUCACUAGGUGUUGAACCCAAGGAUGUACCCAACGUUUCACAUGUCCAACGUGAAAAUACUAUGUGGGAAAAUAAUCAAAACCAAGGACUCGUCUUUGGGACCGAGGCAAUCUUCAAUCUAGCCAUGGUUGACUCUAACCUAUACGAUGCGGCUAAAUCAAUGGGUAUCUCGAGCGCAAACGUUGAUCCCAUCAUGAAUCGACGUCAUCAUAAUCAAAUAUUGAUCAAAACCGAUCAGAUCAAGAAGCACAAGAGAUUUCAGAUGAGGAGAGUAUGUAAACCCACGAAAAAAGCUAGCAUCAUCAAAGGUCAGUGGACUUCCGAAGAAGACAGGUAAAUUCCCUUUUUUUUUUUUUUUGGAAUUCUCAUUGAUGUUUUUGAUUAUAUGGUAUGCUUGUUAUUUCUUAAAAAAGAGUAAUUUACUACACAAGAUUUUUUGAUGAUUCUACCUAUAUUUAGGCUAUUGGUGCAAUUAGUGGAGCGUCAUGGGACUAAAAAAUGGUCACAGAUUGCUAAGAUGCUUCAUGGAAGAGUUGGAAAACAGUGCAGAGAAAGGUGGCAUAAUCAUCUCCGUCCUGAUAUCAAGGUUUUUUUUUUUACCUUACCCUCUUGUUUUUUUUUUUUGUUUUCAUAUUUAUAUAUAUGAUACAAUGAAUCAUACAUAUAUCAUUAUAUCAUUAUGUAUAUAUGGUCGUCAGUGUGUGUUUACAGUAAGAGAAGCAUACAUAUAUCAUUAUACCUAUGUUUAGAUGUCCAUGACACAUCAACGAUGUGUUCAUUAUGUCACUUCAAUUGACAUCGUAUCAUGAUAUGGAUAUAUAAGCAAAUAUAACUACACGCUUUCAAUUUAUUUUUAUGAUUUACACAUAAACUAAAUAUAUAAUUGUUAGAAACUAAAUAUCCAAUUGAAUGUGUUUAUGUUGAUUUUUUUUUUUGGGUGAUGAGACUUUAAUUUAAAAUACUGAUUCUAUUAUAUAUAUUAUAUUAAAAAUUGGUAUACAAUUACAACUUAUUUUUCCACAAAGAAAACAAAAUAUCAUACUCUGUUUGUUCAGAUUCAUAGAGAAAGUUCUAAAAAAAAAUUAAACAAACUUUUUUCACAUUUGUCAAUAUGUCUACGGUCCUAACUCAUGCAUGAAUACUUUAAACUUUUGUUUGUAUAUACUUAUAUGUCUAUGACAUUUUAAUUAAUGCAUUUCGUCUUGUUGUUGUGGACAAAUAGGUCACAAUUGGUAAGCAUUCAAACUAAAGACAAUUUCACGUAGAUUCUCUCGUAACAACGUAACAGACAGAGACAAAUAAUAAAAAUAAGUAAUAUGUUUAUAUGUUACAGAAAGAUGGUUGGAGUGAAGAAGAGGAUAGGAUACUAAUUGAAGCCCACAAGGAGAUCGGGAACAGAUGGGCUGAGAUCGCUAGAAAACUCCCUGGACGCACUGAAAACACAAUCAAGAACCAUUGGAACGCGACUAAACGCCGACAACACUCGAGGAGGAGUAAAGGAAAAGACGAGAUCUCCCUUGCACUUGGCAGCAACACUCUUCAGAAUUACAUCAGAUCUGUUACUUACAACGAUGAGCAUACUCUCAUGGCUGCAAACUCUGACGCAAACGAAAACGUCGGUUCAAGAAACAUGAGAGGUAAAGGUAAAGCUGUAAUCGCUGCAGUCUCUGAGUACGGAGAGAACAGUGAUGAGAAUGAUUGCAAGUAUAUCGUUGAUGGUGUGAUGAACUUGGAUUUAGACGAUGGAAGAAAGGAGAAAACGGCGUCGUUGGCAGUUGGGUCAGGGUCAACGUCUACUUCUGGUUCGACGUCUGGAUCAGGAAGUGGUGUAACCGUGGAGCUUGAUGAACCCAUGACAGAUAGCUGGAUGGUGAUGCAUGGGUGCGAUGAAGUUAUGAUGAAUGAGAUUGCUCUGCUUGAGAUGAUUGCUCAUGGCCGUCUUUAGGUCGCAAUUUAAUCAAGCCAAACUUGAUUAUAUCUUUAAUAUAUAAAACUAUGCUUUAUGUGAAAUCAAAUUUGUGCUUUUAAUUGACAUGUAAUAUAUAUUGUGGUUUAAUGAAUGCUUUUUUUCCCGGUCUCUCGGUUUUUUUUCUUGUUCCUUUUCGGAAAACCUCUCGUUUAACAAAGAAUCUAUAGAUAGUCAAUUUUCCGUCGUGUGAUUCCACAAGUCCACAGCAAAUGCACUUAAUCACUAUUCAAUAAUUGUGUAUCUAGCAGGAGGGUACUAGUGUACCAUCGAAAUAAAAGUAAUUUGCUUACAAAUCACAGUUAGAGUUUUGUCAAAAUGUUGGCAACGAACUGGCUGUAGACUGUAGUGUUUGUAUAUUUCUUUCCCCUUUGGUGAACAGAAAUCAUGUUCUUUGCUUUAAGUACGUAAUAUUUGGUAUCCAUAUUCAUUAACGAUCUUUUGAAUUAAUUUCAUAGCAAAUCGAACUUUUCCAAUCAAAGUUAUAAAAUAAAACGCUUCGUAAGAAUUUUAUGUCGGACUAAAAAAAAAUCUUGCUAUUCCUCAAAGAAUAAAAAAAACAUUAUAGGUGUUCACCAUAAAUAAUAGAAAAUAUAUAUGGCCUUGUAGAUAGGUACGUAUACCUUUUUCCAUUUUGAGAGGUUUUUUGCCUAUUUACAGAACGCACGAGACGAACGACGCCGUUUCAAUGCAACAAACGGAGGAGGUCCCACCUGUUCCUCUCUAUCCACCCUGUCUUGGUCUCCGACUUCUCGGUUUCUGUGGCUCACCGCCGCCAUUCGGAUGCUUCUCGGAUUUAUACGAAUCCCUUAGCUUCCGAAAUUUCUAUUUGACUUCUCCAUCACAAUUUCACGAUUACUGUAGAAAGAAGAAACUUCUACAUUUCUUCUUACAUUUCGUAAGUAUUAAGAACACCAUCAGUUUUGGCUUCUUCUGGAGAAUUUAUGUAUAGAUUUUUUUUUUUUUUUUUGACAUCUUCAUAUAUAGAUAAUAUAGCACAAUUCCUGAAAAAAAAUUUCGAAGUCUCGUCUUCUUCAGACUCGGAUUACAAAUCUGAAUUAUUAUUAUCUCUGUCUCUGUAGGUGAAUCGAUAAGCUACUUGUAUUCCCUCUCAUUUCGAUCUGGUUUCUCUACCCGGCGUUGAUCCAUUGGGUUUCGGAUCUGAAGAUCCGAAUAUUCAGUACGGAUCAACUGUUUAUAGGAAGAAGAAGAAUGAAAUCCCAGGGUGUUUCGGCUUUUACCAGCUUCGAUUACUGGUUUAAUUGGAGAGUGUUUCUCUGUGCGGUUUGGGUGUUGACUCCCAUGAUUGUUGCUUUGUUCGUCAUAUGGAAGUACGAAGAUAGCUCAGUACAAAACCAUCGACGAAUUGAUAAUGACAAUGGUGAUAGUGAACGCAAUGAUGAUGAGCUAUGCAUUGAUGAUGUUUGGAGACCUUGUUUUAAACGAAUCCAUCCCGGUUGGUUACUGGGUUUCCGGGUUCUCGCCUUCUGCUUUCUUCUAGCGAGCAACAUUGCCCGGCUCGCUUUUCGUGGAUGGCGUAUUUACUACUAUUACACUCAGUAAGCUCUUCAAAAUCUCAUUUUACUGUGUAAAAAUCUUCAUUUUAGGGGUUUGUUCAGGAUCACUGAUGCUUUGAGGCACUGAAGUUGUUUCCAUAUUCUUGAUACGAUUGAGACUUGUUUGAUUCGGUGUUGUCUUGGUUUCUUGAUAGGUGGACAUUCACGUUGAUAGCAAUCUACUUUGGGGUAUAUUUUGAUUUCAAUGUUGUGAAUAUAUGUUAUGUUUUGUGUUCAGAUAGUGAUGAUGAAUGUGUUUAUUUGGGUAUGUUCUGUAGAUGGGAUCACUGCUUUCCAUUUAUGGGUGUUUUCAACACAAAAAGCAACUGAGCACGAGAUUAACGGCUGAUCAAGUAGGAAAUGAUGCAGAGAACGGAUUUCGUUUGCCCCUUAUAAAUGGGGAGAACGUGGUUUUUCUCGAGAAGGGAAAAACUUUGGACUCAAAGGCACUACAGUCCUGUGUCCAUGUCUUGCAGAUUAUAUUUCAGGUAGACACAAAUCCUUUUGAUAUGAAUAUAAUUAGUAACUUUUAGAUCUCUGAGUAUAGCAUCGUGUAGAUUAUCUGUGAUGAUCAAUGAUGUUGUUUUGGCAUUUGUGCGUUUUGGUUUUGUUGAAAAACAGAUGAGUGCUGGAGCGGCUGUGCUUACAGACAGUAUAUAUUGGACCGUGAUUUUCCCGUUUCUGUCUUUACAGGACUAUGAGAUGAGUUUCGUAAGUUUCGCGCCAUUUCCUCAAGAAUUUUCCUUACCAUAUACACUGUACUAGUAAAAGCUGGUGCAUGGCACUUUCUAUGUUGCAUAAGUUCUGUUACUUGGAGUUUUAUACUUGCCUUGAAUUUAUUUGAAUCAACCUUGACCGGCUUGAAAACUCGAUCUCAACAUUUCGACUGCAAAUUGUGUUUUCAGAUGACCGUGAAUUUGCAUACGAGCAACCUCAUUUUGCUGCUUUGUGACACAACUCUUAACCGUCUGGUAAACACUCCUUUUCUCUUCCGCAUUUAAGAUGUGACCAAGCGUUUUUUUUUUACAUUAAUGUAUCAACGUGAGUUUUUUUUGGUGUUACUCGCAGAGAUUUCCCUUGUUCAGGUUCUCUUACUUCAUCUUGUGGACAGGAAGUUUCGUUAUCUUCCAAUGGAUUCUCCAUGUUUUUGUCUCCGUAGGGUAAAAACUCGUCUUUUUUGUCAUCUUAUAUCUUACACUUUGUUUCUUGAUCUUUCCUAAGUUUCUAUUCCUCGAUUGAUUUAGGUGGCCAUAUCCAUUUCUCGACCUGUCAAUGCCAAUGGCUCCAGUGUGGUAAGCCUUCAAAACAUUUACAUUCUAGAUAAGUCAGCAGUUUUAUAGAGAAGAAGAAUGAAAAUAUUUUGUUACAUCAAAAUGCUUCAUUCGCUAGACUAUUUUGCCGAUCCUUAAUAGUUUACGUUCAUGCAUCUGCAGGUAUUUGUUGGUAGCACUCCUGCAUUUUCCUUCUUAUGGCUUCUAUGCAUUAUUCGUCAGUAUCAAACACAAACUCACUGCUUAAAGUGAUUUCAAAUGCAAGAGUUUUGCCUCGAAGAAGAGUCAAUUCUCAUUUCAUUUCAUUGGUUUCAACAAUGAAAGAAACACAGUGCAAACAGUACUUUUUACCCAUAUGUACUCAAAAUCUCAGAACAGAAAAGUAUAUAGUUACCACAAUUUUCAAAACAUUCUCAAUCGUUUUGUCAUUGAAUAAAUCUUUAUAGCUGAUCUAAUUUGGUAGUGUAGAAACCUUCUAACGCGAUGAAUGUGAUCUGUUUCAACCAGUCAUCAAAUGGUUAAGUCUUGUGCAAACCAAAUGCUUCAUCAGCCUGCAAGAGAACGGCUUGUGCUAGUCUUCCCCUGUUUGACCAGUUUAGUCAGAGCCAUAUCGAUCUGACCAAACACUUCCUCUUUAGAACAAUUUCCCUUGAUCGUUACCGUUAUAUCUCGGUACAUCGAUAACACAUCUCUGACAUUUCGGUUAUGAGUCUUUAACCGGAGUUUCACCUUCUCUUUGGUAUCAUCAAACCGUUGAGUGAGCCUAGCAGCGAUCUCUUCUGUCUCCGGAAGAGAAUACUUCAAGUGGUAUAUCUUCCCAGUGACAGGAUCUAAUCUACGCCCGAUCACUCUAUCGAUAAGAAUAUCUUCAGGCACUUCAAGGAGAAUGAACAAAUCAGGCUCGAAUCCAAAUCUCUUGAGAGAUGUUGCUUGUGAUAAACUCCUUGGGUAUCCAUCUAAAAGCCAUCCGUUUUGCUUCGACAAAGCUUCUUUCACCAUCGUUACAAGUAUUUCAUCAGGAGCCAAUUCUCCUUUCUCCAUGAAUUCUUUUGCUAGUCGUCCGUUUUCGCUUCCGGAAUCGAUUUCAGCUCGAAGCAAACCUCCAGCUGAUAUUUGAACCAAACCAUAUUUCUGAGUAAUGAGCUCGCAUUGUGUGCCUUUACCUGAAGCUGGAGCUCCUGAUAUUAUGAUUCUCAAAGGCUCAGCUUCUUCCGCCGCCGCCUCUGCCGCCAACGCCGUGAUCUGAAAACUAGUGGCGGUUUGCUUCCGGCGAAGACAGAGUAGGGCGUUUCUGGUGGAUGAAAAAGAUGACCGUGAAACAGAUUUGUUAAAACUGAUGCUGCAGCAGAGUGACUUUGAAGGUGAGACACAUGGCGGGCAUAGAGUCAUCGCCGGAGAAUUCACACAGCUCGCCAUUUCUAUUUCCUCUCCUUUAUAUCUAAAAGCACUACAGAGUUAGAUUUCACAGGCUAAAACUGAUAUGACUUUUUACUUCGAAAAGCAAAAUUGGAGCUUUCUUCUGUUUUAAUAUCCCAAAAUGUAUUUUUACUUUUAAAGUGCAUUUCCAUAACUUAAUUUCAAGCUUUCAAUAGAGAAUAACGGAUUCGAAAAACACUACAAAACUCGGAUCCAAAUACGAUAUCAAUAUACAUACGAUCAAGCAUCAAUUAUCGAGGAUCUAAGCAAAACAGGAUGAGCAAGAAACUUUGAGCUAACAGAAAAUCGAACGGCUGGAAAUGGAUCCGACUCAUAAAUGUAGAGCAGAAAGAUGGAAAACUAUCGAUUAAAGCUUACAAGUAAACUUAAACAAAGCGUUGGAGAAAUAUAAUCUCAGCCAUGAAUAUAUUUGAGGGCAGUAACAGAGAGAAGAUGUACCACUUGCAAUAAGCCUGAGUAUCUGCGAAGCUGAGACGUUUACCGGCGGAGAGGGAGAGCGAUAUUUUCCCGUUUCCUCUAUUUUUAUUGACAGCGACGUGUAAAUAAAAUUUUUUUUUUUUGAUAAGGUGUAAAUAAAUAUUUAUGAACUCACCUCAGUAAAAGUAGCGUAUUUAUCAGAUGAACCCCUAAAAGUUUUUCAAAUUUUUAAUAGGCCCAAAUCUUUUGGCCUUCUGAUGAUGUGGAGCCUUUCAGGAAUCUGAGAACCGCGCGGCGUUGUAUAGCUUGCCUUCCACUACAACGGUAAAAAGGAUCUUGACGCUACCCUGAAUUUGAACUCACUCUCUCGAUUUCUCUCCAUUUCUCUGAGCUCGUUGCUCUUCAAGUUUCGUCUCGCACAGGUGUUUGAUUCUGAUUUAAAGGUGAGUUUGAUUGAGAUUAUCCGUGCAUUUCUCAAUUGUAUUUGCUCGAUUCGUGAUCGGUUUUAGUGGAGUGAUUGCGAGUUUCUACUGGUCACCAUCUCGUAACUUCCUCACACAUUUCCUCUGAAAUUUUCGCUAGCGUAAUCUGUUUGCUAAGUUUGAAUUUGGCGAUUAGUUUUGAGAUAUCAAUCGGUUUCCGCAUCAGGAUCAGAGCAGAUUUUGGUUUAAAUUCGUGGAUGGCGAUGGAAAAUUAGUGUUGGUGUUUUUGAUGUAAUCGCUAUAUCACGCUGAUAAAAUCUGCAGAUCGUCAAAUUGCAAUUGGUCAUGGAUACACACACUCUGAAAUCUGUCUCUGAUUUGCCUGGAAACUUCCGCUCAGCUUUUAGUUUCAGGUAAUAUCCCUUUACAGUUAGAUUUAGUUUUGAUCUUGUAGUCACUGUGUGCUAAUCUAUUUAUUGCUCGCUUUAGAUGUAUUUUUGCUUACUCAAGGAAUGGUUGGAUGAAUGUUAUCUUCAGGAACAUGAUGAUGAUUUGCUUUUCUUUGGUCCUUUAUCAAACACUGGUUGUGAAUCUAAAACUUUCCUUUGUGUUGCUUCUGGCUCGUUUGUCUUCAGAUACUUCAAUUCGCUGCAAAGCGAGUGCUUUCCACUUUGCUUUCACUCCGAUAUCAACAUGGUUAUUUCAGCGCCAACGGGAAGUGGUAAAACCGUACUUUUUGAGCUAUGCAUUUUGAGGCUCCUCUCCAAGUCUAUCUCUAACGAAGGAAGGUUUCUCCAUGCUAAAGGAGCUCUUAAAACAGUAAGCUUUUGAUCAUGAGAUUUUUUGAAUGUUUUAAUGCCUUCGUUUUUACAAUAAAUACACCAAUACUGGACAAUAAGUUUAUUUAUGGUUUCUUCAACCUCUGUUGUCAAGGUUUACAUAUCGCCGUCCAAGGCUUUAGUACAGGAGAAGCUGCGUGAUUGGAAUCAAAAAUUUAAUUCAUGGGGAAUCAGUUGUUUGGAGCUGACAGGUGAUAAUGAAACCUACAGCACAAAGAAUAUACAAGACGCAGAUCUUAUCUUGACCACACCUGAGGUCAGAUAACAAUUUAUAUUGCUUGGUGUAUUUACUGUCUGGAACAUGUUUAUAGCGUCUGAUUUUCCCCAAAGCUUUUAGCCAGAACACAAGCAAUAUAAGACAUUUCAUUCCGUGUUAACGCAAAGUACAUAGUUUGUAUCUCCUCUGGCUGUAGCUUACAUUUUUUCCUACAGAAAUUUGAUGCAGUGAGUCGUUAUCGCGUUACCAGUGGAGGCUUAGGCUUUUUCAGUGAUAUUGCGCUUGUGCUCAUUGAUGAAGUUCAUCUGCUGAAUGAUCCGCGUGGAGCUGCUCUGGAGGCAAUAGUCAGUAGGAUAAAGAUUCUUUCUAGCAAUCAUGAACUAAGUUCAAGUCCUUUAGCCUCCGUACGUCUUCUGGCUGUCUCAGCUACUAUCCCAAACAUUGAGGAUCUAGGUAAAAUACAGUUCACAGUUCUAGUCAUAUUUUGCAGAUUUUAUAACAUAUUGGUUUUUUUGCUUUGUUAACCUGCUUCGAGAGUAGAAAUUGAAAAGACUUGCUUCAAAACAACUAAAGUGAUAAUACUUAUUCAAUUACUGCAGCGGAAUGGCUCAAGGUUCCUACCGCAGGAAUUAAGAGGUAAACUAUGGAUUGCUUUUAGAAAUAUGCCCUUACGUGGGGAAGUGUUUUCAUUUUCUUCAUUGUUUCCCUUCCCAUGUUAUAUAGGUUUGGUGAAGAAAUGAGGCCUGUUAAGUUGACGACUAAAGUUUUUGGUACCUGUCGCAUCUCAAAGUCAAUAUUUUGGCUCUUUAUUUAUUUUUUGUUGUUUAAAUGUUAAGAUGCCCGGGUUGAUGAAUUUGGUUAGCUAUUGAUGAAAUCCUGUUUUCAUGAAUUUUAAGAAAAUGUUUCUUGUCUUUCCUGUAAAGGUUAUGCUGCUGCCAAGAAUGACUUCUUAUUUGAAAAGGUAUACAGUUUCUGCAUCUUGGUUUUCAAUAGCUAUACCCCCUCUUGUCCUUUUCGUAAAAACGGAAACUAAACCAAGUCUUGUUUUCCUUUCUUUUCUUUCCCCAUAUCCAGCGCCUCCAGAACUAUAUUUAUGGUAAGCGGCUUAUCAUGAUUUUCUUCUGUUAUUGCUGUCUUGCUUAGGUUGUAACUUACACCGUUCUGUUGAGGAAAUAUAUAAACUUGCAGAAAUUUUAAUGCAAUUCUCAAAAGGAAAAUCUGCCUUAGUUUUCUGCUCGACACGAAAAGGCGCUCAAGAGGCUGCACAAAAGCUUGCUCAGACUGCAAUGACCUAUGGCUAUUCAAAUCCAUUUAUUAAAAGCAGAGAACAGCUGGAACGGUUAAGGGAGGCUUCGCCAAUGUGCAGUGACAAACAAAUGCAAUCUUAUAUUCUCCAAGGCGGUAUGGUCUGUUUCAUCUUUUAGAGGUUUUGAUCAUACCUUUGAUUCAGCAUUGUCCUGCAAGCUGAAUAGCACCGCAAUGUCCCAAUUAGUUGGUUAUCACAAUGGUGGUCUUUGCCAAAAAGACCGCAGCCUCGUGGAAGGGCUCUUCCUUAGUGGAGAUAUCCAAGUUCUUUGCACGACCAACACUCUUGCUCAUGGAAUCAACCUGCCUGCACAUACAGUUGUCAUAAAGUCAACUCAACAUUUGUACGUCUUUGCGUAGAUGGUUCCAUUAAGAAUUUUUUUUGGAACUUAAGUUAAUAUCCACUGACAUAAUUUUCCUUUCAGCAACAAGGAAAAAGGUCACUACAUGGAAUAUGAUCGUUCCACACUACUACAGGUGUGUUAUUCAAGCAUGUGUAGUUGUCUAGAUGAUAUUGCAUUCUAAUUAUCUGUACAAGCUACUGGAAUGUGCUCUAAAUGAUAUUGCUAGCAGGAGAAGUAAUCUCUCUUUUGCAGAUGUGUGGCAGGGCUGGUCGGCCUCCAUUUGAUGACACGGGAAUGGUUAUUAUUAUGACUAGAAGAGAGACGGUUAUAUACUGCAACUUUUCUCUGUGCCUGAAUCUCUUACUUUAUGUUAACCUUCCCUUAUCUUAUCUGGCUGUGAUUUAUUAAAUGAUUACAGGUCCAUCUCUAUGAGAAUCUUUUGAAUGGAUGCGAGGUUGUUGAAUCACAGUACGUAUUGGCCGAUAAACUUUUUGGAACUCUUUGCUUUUCGGCACAUUCUUCAAAAGCUAUUUGUUGACUUUAAAAAACAUUCUUCUGUUGUUUUUAUGUUUUUGUCUCAGAUUACUGCCAUGCUUAAUAGAGCACCUAACCGCAGAAAUAGUUCAACUUACUGUCUCUGACGUUUCACGGGCAAUUGAGUGGAUGAAAUGCUCAUACCUAUAUGUCAGAAUGAAAAAGGCAUGCUCUUAUGCGCUCUCAAUGAUUCUUACGGUAAAUUUUUUUUUAUCAUAUAUGGUUAAACUAACUUUUAAGUUCGUAUGGACAGAAUCCAGAGAAUUAUGCUAUUAAGAAAGGAAUUCCUAAAGAUCGAGUUGAGAAGCAUUUGCAAGGUGCUCUAGUGACGUAGUUACUGUACUCAUUUUUCCCUUUUGAGGUUCUCAUUUGUCCUAGAUUUUAUCAGAGCUUUGCCUUCAGAAGAUCAAUGAGCUGUCACGUUAUCAGAUGAUUUGGACUGACACAGACGGUUUUGUUUUGAAACCAGAAGGUAUUGAGAUUUAUGAUUACUUAUCUUCGAUUUCGAAACAGAAUUGACUCGUUAUAUUUUGUAGAGCCUGGAAGGCUGAUGACAAAGUAUUAUCUAAAGUUUGACACAAUGAAGUACAUUAUCCAUGCGCCAACGGGCUAUAGCUUGGACGAGGCUCUUCAUAUUGUAUGCCGUGCGGAAGAGAUAUCUUGUAUGUCAUUUCUGCUUCGGUACAUAGCUCUUUUUACUUAAUGAGUAAACUAAUUCUGUUUAUUUGGAAAAAUGAAGGGAUACAGCUCCGACGCAAUGAAAAGAAGACCUUAAAUGAUGUAAAUGCAGAUAAAGAAGGGCGGCUUAGAUUCCACAUCAACGAUAGUAAAGGAAAGCGGAAAAAACGCAUCCAAACCAGAGAAGAGAAACUAUUUGUGCUUGCAAAUGAUUGGUUGACAGGGGAUCCUUCAGUCCAUGAUUUAUCCAUGACUCAGGUCCACCAAUAUUAUAUUCAUGGCUCCCUCUAAUCACUUUAUGACACUUACUUCCUACCUCAUCUGAAAAUUGGAUCUUUUGUCUCAGGACGCUAACUCGAUAUGCUCCAACGGAUCUAGAAUAGCCAGAUGCAUGAAAGAGUACUUUAUAUACAAAAAGAAUUAUAAAGGAACGAUUAGCUCAACUCUUCUAGCCAAAUCACUUUAUCAGAAGCUCUGGGACGACAGUCCAUAUUUGCUGAAACAAUUGCCUGGCAUUGGAAUGGUUACAGCAAAGGUUUGAUGUCUGUCUGCUCUUUAUAAGAUCGUUCACUGCACCUUACCUUUCAGAUGCUUCAAUGAUUUUUUUUUUUCUUGGUAACUUUUGUCUAAAUACAUUCUUUUGCUAGGCGCUUCACUCGAUGGGAGUCAGAUCAUUUGAAGCUCUUGCUGAAGCUGAUCCAAGAAGGAUAGAGAUUGUUACCGGUCGAAAAUAUCCUUUUGGAAAUCAUAUAAAGGAAUCUCUAUCUUCCUUACCUCCAAAAGUAGAAAUCAAGGUCGAAGAAGUUGAAUGUCAUAAGCAAGGUGUAUCUAAACUAGCAGUCACAUUGACACGACUAUCACAACCUCUGCAAUCCACAAAACGCCAUUAUGCUGACAUGGUUGGUUUCCUUAACUUUCUGCAGUUAUAUUCUAACUCUGCUGAAGAUAGUGUACCUGCAUCUCCACGUCUCUGCAUAGUCUUGUGAUCUUCUCAUUAGUAAAAGAUAAGUACUAUAUGAGCUACUAAUCUGUAUCCUUUUCUGGCAGAUUGUUGGUUCAGAGGAAGAAAAUCUUAUCCACUUUCAUGAGAAAAUAAGGUUAUGCGCGCUUGCUUUUCUUCUGAUAACGAAUUGGUUCAUGGACUUUUUACCAACUCUCUCGUGUUUCACAUAAGCCUCUUGUAAGACAUUCAUGUAAAUGUAACUAAUCAGUGAUACUUUUAUGGCAGCAGAAUGGAGGACUUCUCCAGGUCUGUUUACCUGUCGGUCACUCUAUCAUCAUCAACCAACCCAGUGUAACUCUUCGUCGAACAUGGUUUAAGAUUUGAAAUAAUUCUAAUCUUCUUUGUUUCCUCUUUCUAGUCCCUAUAGCGUAACCAUACUCCUGGAAAGGCCCCAACAAGCAAAGGUGACUGUGAAGGCUGAUCUCAUCUUCGAAGAAUACAGUUAGGUCUUCAAAAUAGCAUCACUGAUUUGGUAGCAAAACUUGAUAACCAAGUAGUGAGUAAGAAAUUGAAACAUGAAGUAACUUAUCAAGUGUGUGUAUUUCCGGGAUUUUGUUUUGUAGUUGGUAUUGAUCUCCAUGAAACGCUUCUACUGAAGAAGGCAAAAAACAGCAAAAUAUAUUACCAAAGCGAAAACAGGCUGCCACACUAUUAUCCUCCGAUGGUGGAUGUCUACAUAGUGGAUGAUGACAACACAGUUAAAUCCGGACCUUCAAACCAGAAUGAUCAAAAAGAUGAAAUGUGAGUCCAUUUUUUAGUACUUUCUUGCUCAGAAUGUGUCUUAUUAUCAAAUUUAUUCCCUCUACCCAUAAAUACAUAUGUUUGUCAUGAAUACAACUUUCUGCUCAAUUUACUUCUACAGGCCUAGUUUCAAGCUCUUAGAUGAAGAUUCAGAAGAAGGUUAGAUGGUCACUACAAAUUUAAAUCCACCACAAGUUAUUUUCGUGUGCUUUGUAUUCCAUUAACAAUUUUUCAACCCAAAAUUCCUUGCAGAGAAAGAGCCCUACGUGACGAUGGAAGAAGACGACUGCGUCAUUAUCAAUGAACAUACAGUUUUUGACCACAUACGUGAAAAAGCAAAGUGUUUUCCUUCAUUGGCCACUUUGAAUCAAACCUCUCCGGCAUCAGGAAAAUCAACUCUGAAAAGGAAGAGCUUAUUGGAGAAUUCUCCUGAACUCGAUCCUCUAUUUCAGUAUAAUUCUGUGCUUGGUUCACCUACAAAUACUAAAAAAAUCAAACAAAGCGCACAGAAAAUUACAAGCCCGAGUUAUGCAAGCCUUGCAGACAAUAAUGGUGAGUAAAUCAUCAUUCAUUCUGAAGUUUAUUUUACGUUUAUACACUUUUGGUUAAACUCUAACUAUUAUCCUCCCCAUUGAUCUGAAAAAGGGAAAACAGAAAGACCAUUCUCUGAUGAAACAGUAUUCAACUACAUAAGGAAAAGGUCCAAGAAUUCUCCGGUACUCGUCACAUCAAAAAUCGAGGAUCCCAUAACCAUCUCUUCUCAAGAAGGAAGAAACGCAGAGAUAAGUCCGUAUAAAGCCUACGGAUUAAUGGUUAGUCCUUCUGCUAAAAGACAAAGCAUCACAUUCGAUGCUACUGCAGAAAUGCUGUCCUUUGAUAUCUCAAUGGCGAAGAGAACCAGCACCAACUUAGAGCAGAAGAAAGCAUUCUGCUCGAUGCUUCCAAGUAAGUCUAAAGUCUCUGAUUCUUUUCUUGGAUUUAAAAGCAUCUUCUCGUUUCUGUGACUUUCUCAUUUACACGCCAACACAAAAACUAGCUCCUAGAGAGCACAUGCUAAUGAAGUAAUGAUAGUGGUAGUAAUAAAAUUGGACCGAGGUGGUUUGUAAGUAAGAUUACAGUAGAUGGGAUGCAGUUACAGAACUGCAUGACGUUUUGUGUUUCAAAAGAAAUUUGUAUCUAAAGAUUGGAAGUAAACUGGCACUUUCUACAUGGAUUUCUAAACCAUGAAGACAUGAAGUGAUGCAUGGAUCUUAUAAGUCUAUGAAGACGAAGAGACAACUCAACCUUAACGAAAGUAAUAGAUAAAUGACAAAAAAAAAAUUGUAUUCUGCACUGGAUCAACUGUUUACGAAACAAAAAAAAAAGCAUUAAAACGAGAAAUAUAAAACUACAGUAAUAAGAAAAAAUUGAUGCUACGAAGAGAAACUGUCUUAUAAGCACCCUGACCCUGAAUAUUACUCACACUGAAGUCCCUCCGCUAAAACCGCACUCCGAAGAUCAGCAUAUGUCAGCACAAAACUCAAUUGCUUUCUCUAUUCCCUUUGAUCUGUAAGGUGCAAUGCUGUGGUUGAUACCAGCUUGAGUUGGACCCAACAAAUCAUUCUCAAUGCACUUAUACAUUUCUUUGCAGAGGUUAUCAAUCACAGGACAUAAAAAUUUGAGUUGAUUCUUCAUCAUCUUUAUGUCAUCUUCACUAUAUUCAUCAAAAGGCUCUUCUAAAAUCUUGGAAAGUCUCUCAACAUUACCUUCAAGUUGCUGCUGCUGAUCUUCAAACAGAUUCUUCUUCAUCUCUCUAUCCAAAUCGCUCAUCUCAUCUUUGAACAGCUCUUCCCCAAACAUGUAGAAGGCGAAAGGAUACGAAUACGAAAGAAUCCGUCUUGAUCUGAAUAACAGGUCGACUCCAUCUGUUAGCCAAGUGAGAUCUUUAAACACCAACUGAUCAUUCUUUUCUGAAAUGAACUCUGCCUUCUCAAGAAUGCUCUUCCUACGUUUAUCCUCUAGCUUUGAUGAAUCGGUAUGUGCUUUGAAAUGGUAAUAGUAAUGCGUGUACCUGUUUAAAUCCCUCUUGGCUCUCUCCAUUUGCCUCACUUUGUCCUCUUUGUACCUACCACAACUAUGACCCGAGAUACUCGUCCAGGUAUGGUCUCUUCCAGUAGCUCCACCACACAACCAACAAAAAUGCUGCCCACAAAUACAAGUCAUGAGAUUGCAUCCGUCACUCCUGUGGACAGGUUUGUUGCAUUUGGGACACACCCUCGUGUGAACUGUGAUCCAGUUAACUGUCUCAGACUCAUCUUCACACUUCUUUCUCCAUAGCUUCCACAUCAGACAAGAGCAAGGAGAGUGAGACUCGCUCAGACAGCUGAAACAGAACUGAAGACCACAAGAACACUCGACCUCGACCUCCUCAUCUUCCUCAGCUUUUCUUAUCGCGUUCCCGCAAUGCGGUGUGCUUGGACACCACUUGACCAUCUUGUUAUCUUCCACGUAUGACUCAACGAGGAAACGAUCAAACUUUUCAGCUAACUCCGGAGAAACUAGCUUCCUAACUACAUCUUCAUCGCAGAUCGCGUUGCACUUGUGAGCCAUGCAUGUAAUCCUUUUGCUCUUGCCUUCGUUGAUGUUCACAGUAAAAUGUUCCUUCCAACAAUCGUUGCAAAAGCAAUGACCACACUCCAUUCUCGUCAUCGCAGAACUUGGUAUAUCGUCUUCUAUGCAGAUAUCACAACUCAUCGUCUUCCUCUUCCUCGAACUAAUCAAGGAAGGAUCAAAGACAGUAAGACCAGCACUUUUGAACAAACUGUCUUUGCCUCUGUCACCAUAAACUCCAAUCAACUUAUUCACGUUCCACUGGUAAUGAAUGAGAAGAGUCCUCGCUUGGUUCUCCUUAACCGAGAGUAAUUCCAUAACCCUAGCUAAAACUUCCUUCUGUGCCAGUACAAGAGAUUCCUUCGUGAUGAUCUGGCUCGUUGAUUUUUUGGAGGACACCUCUUCAUGAGCAUGAUCAUCAUUGUAGUAAUCUUCAUAAUUAUCCUCCUCCUCUUCCUCUUCCUCCUCGAAGCUCAAAUAAUCGUCAUCCAUCGAUUUAAACUUUUUAUUAGAAUCAGAUUACCGAGAAAUCGUCGGACGGAGGCGAUCGAGAGCCAAAGGGAGAGAGUGUAGACGAAGAACACGAAAAGUCCUGAUAUGGUGGCGACUGGCGAGAUCUUCUUCACAUAAUAUUUGUAGGACUCACUCGAAUAACGCAAAUCUUUUGGGUGUUAGUUACUUUUAUAGAUAUAUCUUUUAUUUUAUUUUUUUUGGUGCGAAAUAGAUAAAUAUAAGUAUGUUUUCCUAUUCGAGUUGAAUUAAUCAAGUAAAUCUCUUCUUCUCCUUAUUGUAUAUUUUCUAUACUGUACAAAAAGGAAAUAAUGUAGGUGAAUUUUUUUUAAGGUGUUCGAAUAUAUGCUAAAUUUUCAUAGCUUAAUCUGUUGGGUUUCUUUUCUGAGUUCUUGAAAGAUUAAGUUUUUUUUUUUUUUUUUUAUGAUGACUCUUUGGGCAGGAAUUAUGGUAUAUAGCCAACUUAUGUUGGUUCAUUGAUUGAAUGAUUCAUAUUGAGAUAUCAAGCUUUAUAGAAUAAGAUACUGAUAAAAGUAUGUAUUGUAUGUUUGUAUGUAUCUUAAUUUCAUAAAUUUAUAUAUCUUACCUACUUUUUAAAAAUUGCCCCUUUUAAACGACUUACAACAUUUGUAUUUUUAUUUAUUUUGUAUUUUUUAGAUUUAAUUUAGACUCUUCUAAAUUUUCCUUUUUGUGUUGUUUUUUGACAAUUAUUUUGUUGGUUGAUUAGAUUGAACUUGUGACAUGAAGGUAAAAUGAGAGAUUCAAUAUUUCCUUUGAUCUUUUAUUUUGUGAUUUACGCUAGGUUUCUCUUUCGUCUAGAUCUUGUUAGUUUGGUCAUUCCAUUUUCUAUUUCGCAAGGAUUGUUUAAAAGUCUUUGUUUUCUAUGUUGUUUUCAAUUUGUAUUUUCUUUCUUGUUUUAGACUGUUGGCUCAAAAAACAUUCUUCUUUAUGACUUGAUUUGUUUUUUUUAAUCGUAUGACUUGGAUUUUGAAUUUCAUAAUUUAGGAAUAUGUGGAUAGGCAAAAACAUAAAUAAAUAGGAAUAUUGGGUCGUUCUGUAAACUGGAAGAACUCUAGGGGUAGCAAAUCCAAAUUUCGCUUCUAGUUUCUCUCCUCCUCGUCUUGCCUUGUUUCCUUGCAAUUUUAUUUUGAUAACAAAAAGCCCCUCCUCUCUCUCUCUCUACCCCACCCUUCUCUCUCUAAGCUAGCUCCUUCAAACCCUAACGACGAGAGCAGUCGCUAUCGGCGACGUGAUUCUCAGGUUUCUCCUUGUAAUUCUGGAAGGACGACGGCGAAGAAUCUCCGCCGCGGAUUUAGUCUUCAUCGACGAUCGCUGCGCCACUAUUGUUUUCUCCAAUUUCUUCUCAAUAUGUCCAUCCAUUGUUUUUGAUUUUGGUCAUCUGGCCUGAAUCCGAAUUUUGGCUGUGAAGAAGAGCGGCAGAGUCACUGGUUAUUCCGGGAGCACCUGUAAGAUUUAUUUCCCUUUUUCAAAGAUUUUUUUUUUGUUUUUUUUUUAUUUCUGAAGCUCUCUGGGUUCUUAAAAACCCUAAGUUUCUGCUGAUUGCUGUUACUAUUCUGGAGUUAGCUUAACUGGUUAGGGGUUUCGAGUUGUUGUGUGAAUUAGGAGCUUAAUCAAUAGCAUAUGCGAAGCAUGAAACCAUAGUCUGUUGGAUCUCGAGAGAGAUAAUUGUUGGUUUAUAAUCACUAAGGGGAAGAUGAGACUUAGGUAGUUGUUGUACGGCAUUGAUUGCACAUUACAUCGUUAGGGUAUCGUUUGGUCUAUUAUUCUUUGUUGUACAGUAAUCUGAUGGACACUACAUUGUAUCAGAGUCUUGUAUGAGCGACAAGAAGCUCUGCAUUAUCCAAGUGGAUCGAUGGAAAUUUCCGUUUCCUCUCCAAAGCAAAGUGUGUUAUCUCCACCCGAUUGUAUGAGUGACCCUGAGGAGCAUGAGAUCAGCGAAGAGGAGGAUGACGAUCGCAACCAUAAGCACCGUAGGAAAGAAGAGACGAGGUCUCAGUCCUUGGAACAAGAUUCUUCAGACCAGACAUUCUCACGGCCGUACAGGAAAAAUUAUAGACAUUUUGAAAAUGGCAAUACGUUUAGUGAACAUGAAAAGCGGUCUCAAGGGGCAGCGUCAGGACAACGUGUGCAGUUUGAUAAUCAAAGAACAAGAUCUAACCCAAUGUUUUCAAGGGACACUGGUCCUGGUAGAGGUAGAGGAAGUUAUGGCUCUUGGAACCAGCGUGAUUCCAGGUUUAAUCCUGUUGAUCUCUCAUCUCAUAUGGUUCCGGGCAUGUUUGGAGGAAGGGGACUAGCUGGUGUUUCAGCUGCUCAAAGUGCACGAUGGCCUGCUUUUGGAAUGCUUCCUGGAGUUCCAAAUGGUGGCUUGGAUGGUUUCCAUCACUUAACUGGAUCCCUAAGACCACCAUUAAAUGCUUCACUUAACAUGGGUAUUCCUCGGCAGCGAUGCAGAGACUUUGAGGAACGUGGUUUCUGCCUCAGAGGGGACAUGUGUCCGAUGGAGCAUGGAAUCAAUCGUAUUGUUGUCGACGAUGUUCAGGUAUGUUUUCAUGAAUUAUUUGUUUUGGAUCGGAUUUUAAUUGAAAGACACAAUAGAUCCUUGAGGCUUUGCUGGAAAUUUGAUAACUGUUUGCAUGAUCCUAUCUAUACUGAUUUUCUUGAUUAAGUUGCUAGUAUUGUGACCAUUUUAUGCCCUUCAGCAGUACUUCUGGGUGACAUAAAAUUAAACUCUUUAAUGUUUUCAGUGUUAGCUCUACGUGGCAUGGCUCUACUUUAUUCUGAAUUUUAGAUGCAUAUUAUCUUGAUUCUCAAAUAGCAAAUACUUUGUAUUGCAUGAUAAAUUUCGUAUGACUACUAUUUUGUUACACUGUUCUUCUCUUGUGUAUACUUAAGUGAUUAAAUUUCCUUCAUUUUCCAUUUGUGCAGAGUCUAUCACAGUUCAACCUUCCCGUUUCAGCCCCUGGUGCACCUCAUCUGGCAGCUUCUUCUAAACCAGUGCCUGCACAGUUUGGGUGUGCUAAUUUCAUGAAUACUAAAGGAGCUCAUGGGAAGAUUAACGAGGGUGGAAUGGCUGUUGAUGGCUUGGGUUAUGGUGAUGCAUAUCCUAGUGUAGGUGGAACUGAUUUUUACGAUCCUGAUCAACCUUUGUGGAAUAACAGUGCUGGUGAAACAUCUGGGGCAUUAUCUGCACUAAAUCCUCAUGGGAUUGAUGAGAAUGUAGCUCUGGAUGACAAUAACCAAGAUGGUCCUGAAAAUGCGUGUGGUAUUCGAGACUCCAAAAGCACAAGUCAAUCGGUUUGGGGCAGAAUGCGUGGUUCUAAUAGUCAAGCAAAUUUUAAAGAGAAAGCUAAUGCAGUAUUAAAUUCAUCAGCUGGUCUUGAUGAUCAAUUGAAGGAAGUCUCAGUAAAUUCAUCCCGCCACGGUAAACAAAACCAUGUUGGUGAAAGUGUCUCAAAUGAUGCGAUGAACAAUACAAGAAAACCAGCGCAAAAGGCAAUGCGGACUCUAUUUGUGAAUAAUGUUCCCCACGAGAGCAACAGAAGGGACCUCAUUCUUGCCCAUUUCCAGAAAUUUGGGAAAGUUAUUGACAUUCACAUCCCAAUAAAUAGUGAGCGAGCAUUUGUUCAGUUCUCGAAACGCGAAGAGGCUGAAUCUGCUCUCAGGGCACCUGAUGCUGUGAUGGGUAACCGCUUUAUCAAACUUUGGUGGGCAAAUAGAGAUAGUAUACCUGAUAAUGGGCUGUCCACUGGCAAUGGUGCUCCGAUGAAAGGUCGUGGUAUGACUGCUUCUGGAGGGCAGAACCAGCUUCCUAUUGCUUCAGCAUCAAAAAGCAACCAUGCAUCUUCCAUUGCAAAAGGCCCCGCCUUUCACACCGGUGGAGCUCCAUCAUCCUCUGAACAGCCUAAGUCUGUGGGGGUCACUAGUGGUCCCAAGGUUACUCCGCUUCAGCAGAAAAAAGCAGAAACUCUUGAGCAGUUGAAGGAGGAACUUCGAAAAAAGCAGGAAAUACUGGAGCAGAAGCGUAAUGAGUUUCGCAAAAAGUUGGCGACGUAUCAAAAACAAGUAAGAACAAGUUACUAAAUCCCUUCAACCCCGUCAAUACCUUUUUGAGGGAAAUUACAGUUUAAGCAGUCACUAGAAAAUUAAGCAGAAGUAGAAGUAUGAGAUUCAUAUCAUAUUGCUCUAAAUCUUAUUUACUCGGACAAUAUUCAUAUCAUUUUGCUCUAAAUCUUCUCAGGGUACGGUUGUCAAGUGUGAGGAAGCAGAUGAGCCAGAUGCUAAGCGCGUUAAAGUAGACACAGCCUCUAGUUCUGGUGCCGCAAUCUCAUCACCAAAAACAGAGUCAUCAACAGAUAAGAAAGUGCCUAUCCAGAAACCACUGUCUACUGCUAAACUAAGCACAGAAACGCAAUCACCCGAUUCAAAAAUCUUGAAGCAAAGACCUUAUUCAUUUACCACAAGUUUGAACACUCUUAUGGUAAAUAGGUAUAAGUUAGACAACCGCACCACUACCAUCAAAGUGGUUCCUCCUCUGCCAACCGGGUUAGCCGAUGUACGAUCCCUUUCUUUGCUCUACUUUAUGAAUGUGCAAAACUUUCCCAUUUUUCAAAUUAGAUACUAUUGAACUCUACCGGUAUUAUUAGGUCACUUACUGAUGGUUUGAACUACUUUCUACUUCUAGGUUGCUGUCUUAAAGGAACAUUUUUCUUCUUAUGGCGAAGUCUCAAAAGUGGAACUUGAAGGCAGUGCAUCAAUUGAUAGUGGCAAGAAUCAAGAUGAAACAUAUAACGAAAACUGUGGAGCUUGUGUCACAUUUGUGAAACGCAGCGCAGCCGAGAAAGCGUUUGCUAAUGCAAAGUGCUGGCAAGAACACAUGUUGCAGCUCGUGUGGGUAACACGUCAAAGCAACCAAAAGAAUAAUAGUAGCAAUACUAAUAAUAAUCUCUCAGCUUCUCGUGACCACCUUAGCAGCAAAAACAAGCCCACUUCUUCUGUUUCUAAUGACCCUAAACCAGCAGAUGAAGUCAAAGCCUCCUCCUCUACGGAAGAACCAGAGAACACAAACGUCUCUGGAGAAGAAAAUUCUGUGGAUGAACGAGAACGAGAGGCCAAUGAAAGCGACAAUGGCAACCAUAAAAGUAACAGCGAGUCCAUUGAAGGAGCUUCUAAAGAGAUUGCGGCGUCAGGUACCAAUGAAGAACAGUUGGAACAGAGAAAUGAUUAAGUUGGGAAAGAAGAUUCGUCAGUGAGGUCAACUUUUGUCGCAGAAACAUAUUUUUUUUUGUUUGAUCUGGUAUUAGUGUUGUUUUCUCCGUUUUAGGCUCUUUAGCCAAUUCGUGAGACGUUAAUAUUUGUUGGUAGCAAAGAGAUAUAUAUUUAUAUAUCUAAGUUUUUUUUUUCCUUUUUGUUGGAUAGAAUGUGACAAUAAGAAAAAAGAGAAACGAAAAAAGAAGUGUAUAUGUUACAUUUGGCCUUCCAAAGAACAGUGGUUGGGUACAAUUUCGAAUUCUGUUGUACAUACAUAGUUGAAUUUGGACACUUGCUUUAGCCGAGACGAAAAAUAGUGUGGAAUCUAUAAACGGCACGCAUUUUGAAAGUUUAUCCAAUGUUCGCAUUUUGAAAGUUUAUCCAAUGUUCGCAUUUUGAAAGUUUAUCCAAUGUUUAUCCUUAUUUUGUUUGCUAAGAUCGAUUCUUGGAACUUGGAAGUAUAUUAUUUCUUUUAAUUUUCAAAUUUAUUUAAGUCUAUUGUAGAAAAACGAGAUUGAAAGUCGAUGAUUCUCUUAGGAAAAAAAAAGAAGGAAAUUCGUGAAUCUCGAUAGUGACACAGCCGUUCACAAAUUUCUUGUUCAAAAUGACAAACGAGACAAGAGCCUCAAAGCUGAUGAGAAUUUCUUUGAUCAAGCAAUAACUUUGAACCAACAGACUCAAACAGUUUCAUGCAUUACAUGUUUAAAGAGAUAAGAUAUACAUAAAUUUUUCAAAUCAAAUUCUAUUUUCCAGGGACGAAGUUGGUGGCGUAAGACCAGGCAUUGUUAGCCACAGGGUCCGCAAGAUGAUCGAAGAGAUUCUCGAUCGGACCUUUACCAGUAACAAUGGCUUGAACAAAGAAUCCAAACAUAGAGAACAUUGCAAGACGACCGUUCUUGAGCUCCUUCACUUUCAAUUCCGAAAACGCCUCUGGAUCCUCCGCUAAGUUCAAUGGGUCAAACGCUCCACCGGGGUAAAGUGGGUCAAGCCCUUCACCAAGAGGCCCACCUCCGAUUCUGUACCCUUCAAUUAAGCCCAUCAACACAACUUGAGAAGCCCAUAUGGCUAAGAUGCUUUGCGCGUGGAUCAAGUUAGGGUUUCCGAGGUAAUCAAGUCCUCCUUCGGAGAAGAUCUGAGAUCCUGCCUUGAACCACACGGCUUCACCGAACUUGACUCCGUUUUUGGAGAGAAUCUCUGGGAAGGUGCAGCCUAAAGCGCCUAGCAUUGCCCAUCUACUGUGGAUCACUUCGAGCUCACGGUUCUUUGCAAACGUUUCUGGGUCGGCGGAUAGACCGGCGGUGUCCCAACCGUAGUCUCCGGGGUAUUCUCCGGUUAGGUACGACGGUGUGUUUUCUGAGAAUGGUCCUAAGUACUUGGGACGGUCUGGUCCGUACCUGUCACGUGUGGUUAAUGGUGAUUAGUUAGAUUAAAACUGAGGAAACAAAAAAAAACACGGAUUGAUCAUUUUGUCCGGAUAAACCGGUUUGAUGCGAUCCAGAAAACCGAACUGAGUUCAACACAUGAGCUUUAUUCAUUUUAAGAUAUUAAAAAAAAAGGAAAACCGGAGAGCGAGAUUGAGGAUGGAACCAAAUGCUCUGAGGAGUAGACUUGACGGUACGGCGCAUGACGACGCGGCCACCGCCGUUGGAAGCUCCAACUUUGCGGAGGAGAUCGUUGGAGGGCUUGAGGGCCGUUUGGCCGGCGAAUGAAGAGUGUUGGAUUGCUGACGUGGCCAUUCUUUGAAUCUGAGAUGAUGUGAUGUUGGUGUUAUGCAGAUGAAAUGGGUUUUCGUUUUUUUUUUAUAAUAGAGAUCCGAAAGAGUUUAUCUUGAAGGAGAUUUGCAGAUGGAUAUGUCUGCGAGUUCUGAUUGGUUGGUUUCAGAUUUUCCACAAACUCGGAUCAAGUGGGGCAGGAGAUGGGUAGAGGUUGUGAUUGUGCCACGUGGCUGUAGGAGAUCUUGUGCCAAGAGGAUAGUGUUCCAAGUCCAACACACUUAUGCGGCUUCGCUUAUUGGUUAUGCUUGCGAAUUGCGCGAUUGCGAUGAUAAGCUCAUAUCGUUACACAAUGAGAACAACACUAAACAACGCAUUGCCCAUAUUAAAUGUAUGCAGGUUGAGACCAGAAUAAAUAAUCUAUUUUUUUUACAACAAAUAAAAAAUCUAUUAUAAACCAAUAACUAACAAUAUCUCUUUUAUGAAUACAACAGUGAGGGACCUGAAGGCCAUGAAAAAAUUCCCUUCAUAAUCACCAAACUACUCCGAAAUUAUAGUCUCCUGGCUAGAUAUAAAAAUCAUACAAUAUUUGCAAAGGAAUCAAGGUAUGGCCAUAGCAGCAAGUCUAAGCUGUUUCUCAAGAGGCAAAUGGUCUCUGAAGGCUACACAAAUGUGAUGCAUCACCUUCACAAGCAUUGGCGCAUAAUCUCUUUCGCUUCGCUCGAUAUGCUGUGAGCUUCGCCUUGCAUUACCGUCUGAGUCAGUUGCAAAAUUGUAAACACGUUCCAAUGAUGUCCAUAGAAACGAGAUGAAAGGCUCUGCGACAACUUCCCAGUUGGGAUCAGACAGGAGAGAAGUUACGGUAACAGACAUAUCGCUCAAAACCGUGGAUCGGUCUAGAGUGAGAAACGGCAUGUAUUCGCAACAGAUGCUAGAGAGGAGACCAACAAAGAGAAUAGCCUGUCGAUGAAGCAAAACCAAUUUCAACGUUAAAAAUGAAGAAGAAGAGGAAGAUAAUCUCUUUCGAUGGAGGAUAUCUUAACACUGAUGUGUCUUACAUUGGAAGGAUAGCUAGAAACGCAGCUGAUUUCAACAGCAUCAAUGAGCCACUGUCUUUUGAUUCCUCCUUCGGCGUGAUGCAGAGCACCUAUUAUCUCAAUGUGCACAUCCCAGAUAUCUAACAAAGACGAAAAGUUUGAUUGUAUCAUGAUCUUUGAUUGUAUCUAGCAUGUAUAUAGCAAUUGAGGAUAUUAACUGACCUGACUGUUCACAAUUUAAUAUAAUUGCCUUCAAUUUUCCUAACUCGGAAAAUGGAAUUGAGCCAAGUCUUGCUAGCCUGGCUUUUGCCUGGAUUUUCUUUAGGUUACCUUGGAAGUCAAUCUUUUCGUUUCCAGGGUCAAGACUUGAAACCUGCAUGCGAGAAAAAUAUCAGUUAAGUGGCUAGAUGUCUACAAAGAUGAUAUAUACCUUACAAACCCAUGCAUAAGGCAGCUAUUACAUAUACCUGUAGAAAUUUGUAUAACCAAUCCCGACCCGACUUCUGCAAACAUCUAACUGCCUCAUACCAUUCUUUCACCGGACCCAUCUGAUCUGCUUUCGGAGAUUGUGAUGCUACUGGUAAGACCGCAAAAAGCAAUUCUAUGCAUUUUUCAAUCUUUGUGAUGUAUUCUGAAGAUUCAAGCGAAGUUCCUUCGAGACACUGACUCAGACCUUUCCAACAAGAGACCCUCAAUGAGCUUUUCUGAUCACAGCUAUAUUCUUCGUCUGAAGAUAGCGAGAUUACGAAGCAACAGAUAUCGUCAAACAGUUUAUCCAUUCUUGAACCUGAGAAUAUUCUCAUUAAAUCCCCUAGAUGACAGAGCAGCCAUGACUGGAGACUCUGCUCUAGUGCCUUGAAUCUGGAUAGUUCAGACAACUCGUCCAGAAAAGCUAGAAGUUUAUCACAUUGACUUGCGUGGGCUAGUGAAAAUUUUAAGCACUCUUCCCUAAGAGUUAUUUCCUUGGGAAGAUCUCCUGAUUGCGAUGCAUCAGUCUGAGUCUCUUGUUUCAUUAACCGCCUUAUUGUUGCUCCCCAGUCCAAGUUUGGCAACCUCGGAGCAUGAGACAAACACCGCAAAGCACUUGCCACUGUGCCAGUAUUCAGAGAGCUACCCGCCUAAAUAUCAACAAAGAUUAAUACGUAUGGAACAGACUGAUAUCUCUAUCCUGAACUAAAUCAUAUUUUUAUUUGACUGUUGCAGAAAUUUAAUGGAACCUAAGAUUUUACAAUUUCAAGUUUCCUUUUAUGUUCCAACCAUCAAGAAUUAGAGAAGGUUUAAACUAUCAGAAAGUUUUAAGCAGACAUACCGAAGGCAAACUUGGAUUUGUCUGGCCUCGAGCAAGUUUCAUGACCAUGGCAUGCUCAGGAACAUUGUGGGAGAUGGAAUUACGGUGAGAGUCAUCAGACUGGAUUUCAUUACUGAGACUUGAUGCUUCCCCGGACCGCAUGUAAUUUCUAAGAAUUGAGAUUGCCCAUGCAGCAUAAUGUUGCAGCUGGCGAUCCUUGGUAUUUUGUGCGAUAAGGAAUAUUUCUUGCACAGUUGGUGUCAACUGCUGAGUAAAAUAUGAGUUUGAAAGCAAAGGACCUGACACGUAAGAGAUUUCCUGUAGCAAAAUAAAUGGACGUUAGGAAUCCUUUCACAUUAACCGGCGAAUAAAAGAGAAGACUUUCGAGAAAGAUGGACCAGAGAAUUUACGUUUUCCUCAGAACUGGAAGGAGGAGCACGGGGUAGAGGAUGGGAAUACACCAAAUUCCCAGCACUUGCUCCUAAAACAUUAACAACUCCGAGCAUGCCACCAAAGUGAAUAACUGGUGGGUGAAGUCCAGAGUAACAUGUCUUGAACAGCUCUAGUAACCCUUUUACAGACUCAAUCUCAACAGGGUGGAUACCUUCAUUCAGGACAGAACCAAGGAGGUCUCCCGCCCCGAUACAGGACGCCAUCAACAAACUCUUAUGAAAAGCACCGGACUUUUUAACAAUUAACAACUCAGAAAUAAGGUCCUUGAAACAAUUGAUUAAAUGAUCUACCUCAUGUGUAUCAAACAGUUCCACUUUUUGGCAGAAAGUGAUCACUAUUGGAAUUGCAAGACAGGAACCGGCUGAAAAAACUCUCACUGAUACACUACUAUUAGAACCUGGAGUUUGCUUAAGAGAAUCAGCAUAUGGGAUCCAUGAUACGAUCAGGUUUUUAAUCUUCACAACAGCAUCUUUCUUCCCAGCUCUGUAUAUUGCACCAACUGACAUACCCAAACCUAUGAUGAGUCCAGCAAUACCCCAUGUAUCAUCAUCAAAAUCAUUAGAAUUCUCAUCCAACAACUGAGGUAAAUAUGUAACGUUGUCUUCCUUUCCAGGUGGGAACAGCGCAGAUAAGCUUUCUAGGAUAUUACACGGAGUGUGUAGGAAACGAUGCAAAAUUGAAGAAAGCAACCUCACGAUCCUUCCUAAUAGCUGUUCCUCUUGAUUCCUGUAGGACUUACUGUCUAUACCAGAACUCGCAGAGACUUCAGUCCGAGUGAGCAGAUCUUGGCAUGAAAAACCCAAUCCAACCCCACAGGCUCCUUUUACAAGAGUGCUUUUACUGCUGCACAAAACCUGCAGGAUAAAUAUUAUUUUUUAGCUGCAAGCUUACUUCAAAGUGAAAAGAGCUCAUGUAACGAGUGAGAAAGAUUAAGACUGAUUUUGCAUGCAUAUUCUUCAAAAUUACUACUCAGUAUGAGUUUUCAUGAAACAGUUGAACAAUAAUUUCCACAAGUUACAUUGACCAAUAUGGUCCGUGGCGUAAUUAACUCAUAAGUAUAGACAGUACCUCAAGAAGCCCAGAUAUAUUCUGAAAUUUCUGCUUGUGGUCAGUCACGUGUAAAGAUGACGAAAUCAAUCCAAGAGAAAUACCAGCGGUCCACUGACGGUGUUCAUGCUCAUGCUCCAACAACCAACCCAACAGAAAUUUUGACGCAGUCGCUUUAAUAUUAUGAGCAGCAGCUGGCAAAGCCUGAAAAAAAAAAAAAAAAAAAAAAAAAAAACAGAUUAAACCGUAUAUUGAGACACUUGUGCACUACAGAUAUGGAAGCACAUUUAUAUAAAAUCUUACUUCACAUAGUGCCCCCAGCGCCAGUGCUAUAUUUUCUGCAGACCUGGGAAGAGUUUCUUCAGCCAUGUAUACUAAACUCUACAUGAAUAACACAGCAGAAUCUCAAUAAAGGUUUGAUCACUUCAAAAAAUUAUUUUGACUAAGCUGCUACAGAAACACAUUAUCUCGAACCUUCAAGAUGUUGUUUGCAGCUUUAGAAGUUUUAUCAGAUGAUAAUUCUGUAGCCGUUGCAUCAAUGGACAGUAUAUUAGCUUUCAUCCAACGCCGCAUAAAAACUUUCAGUGAUUGCAAUGAAAUCAGUGCAAGGGAAAUAUUUCUUGAGAUCUGGAGAGAUUUGAUUACUACUCUAAAUGCCUCCUCGUAUUGACCAUGGACAUCACGAAAGCUCUGCGACUAAAAGUAUGCAACUAAGUACGCUGAAGCAUAGAAAAUCUCCUAGCAGAAAGUUGAAUAUUCUUACUCUUGAUGACCCAAACUUCACAUCUCUGGGACUAAAAGAUAGACAUAAUAAUGCCGCACCUGGUAGUUCUCCGGUCUUCAUUCCUUUCCCUGUGAGUCAAAUGGAUGGUGCUAUGGUUAGUUCAUGCGAAGUAGUAAGAAAUUUACAUAACUGAUUAUCAUAAAUAUUUAGCGAAAAAUUCUAUCCAUUAUGAAAACAUGAAAAGAAUUAAGCACUCGAUAAGGUCUAUCCAUUAUGAAAACAUGAAAAGAAUUGAGUAUUCGAUAAUCUUAACACUGCAUAUGAUGGUUCACUACAAACGCGCUUCCCAUUUGUUUAACUGAAGAUGGAACUAUAAAUUUCAGCAUUAUCUUAUUAGAAUGUCAAGUUACAAAGCACAACAAGAACUGAUAAUUAUAAACAGGUGAAGUUAGUUAUUAGGCAAAAAAAAUGCAGACCUGCAGGGAAGAUGACCUCAGGUAUCACAUCCAGCAGCUUCUCAAUCUUACUACCUGGAACUCUCUUCUCUCUUACAUAUCUACGCCGGACGCUGAAAGGUCAGAAAAGAAGCAGUUUCAGUACGCUCCUCAUGAGGACCUAAGCCAGAAAAGUUCAGUAGACUACAAGCUCUAUACCUAUGCUCGUAAAUCAUGAUCUUGAUUGAAAGAGCUUCUAAAGCAUUCAGAAUUUUCGCAUUGGUCUCCGAGAAGAGCAAAUGUGUACAAUUCUUGUUCAGGUCAGAAAUUUGUUUGUCCAUAAGUGAUACCUGGAAAAAUAAUGGAUCAGAAUUACAUUAAAAAUGUCAAUAUUAGUAGUUAAGGACCAAAGGAAACCAAAGAUGGCCUGAAACACACGUAAAAAAAAUACAUACAAGAUACAUAAAUUCAGCACGUACCUCAUACUGACCAAGGGCCAUCAAGGCAGAGACUCUUGCCUUUGUCCAUCGGGAAUCAUGAGGCAUCUGCAUAGAGCUCCCAAUUUCCCACAAAAUGUUCAGAACCUUUUCUGCAUCCUCAGGAUAUGCUUCAGCAUCCAUUGCACCCCACUUAAGAAGAAGGCAGACACUACAACAUAUUCAUCAAAAUAAUGCUAGACGUCAAAUAUUUGUUUAGGCACCUCAAAUUACAAUGGCUAAAAGAUCCAUGCACCACUUUGAACACCUUAAUCGUGCCUGUAAAUAUGAUUCGGGAUAUGAACUCCGCUAACCUAUGAGCAAGGAGAGGAUCAUGUUUGAUGUUUUGAGCAUGCUUCUUAAUGACACCCCAUGCCGUAUAGAAAUCUAGAUGGACAAAGCAGAAGUUACAAGAUAAAAUAUGACGUGAAAUACAAACGAAUUGACUAACAGAAACAAGCAUCAAGAGAGUACCAAUGACAUCGGCUUCACAAAGAUGGGAAAGGCUCUGAAAACCAAGAGCUCGAACUGAGGAGUCUUGGCUUUCUAUACAGGCCUAUCAGAGUGUGAGUCCAGUGGAAAAUUUAAUGGCACUCCAAAAGUUUCAAUAUAUAGCCAAAGCAGUAACAGCAAACUCGUUUGAGAAACUAUACCUGAACGGACAGGAUUAGGUCUACUCCCCUAUCAGGGUGGCUCUUGCAUACAUCAUGAAUGGAAGCAGCCAUACUAAUGCAGAUAUGUCUCUCCGAAAUAAAGUCUACAAAUCCUUUCGGACGUAACACCUCCUGAGUACUUAAAAUAAUUAGAAACAAAUAAAAAUAGUACAACUUGACUUCAUCAAUGUUGAGCAAAAAUUCAUCUAGUGGUAGAGAAUAGCUUACUUGCAGACUCGGAAAGGCACGGUCAUUGACUACCCAGGUCUGGCAAAGUAAUCUUAUGGCUGUAGCAUACAACAAACUAAAAUGAACCAUCAUCAGAGCUACACAUAUCAACUUCUUUUCAAUGGCAGUACAGAUAUUAAAAAAGGUAUAGCGCAGAAACCCGAUUCAACAAGAUUGAUAAAUGUAGGCUAAAGCAUGAAACAUCAUAUACUACUCUUUGGCUUCUAAAUCUACCUGUUAUAUUAUAUCAUAAGCCCAUAAUCUGAAAAGUUAAAGCUGUUUCCAAAGACUACCCGUUUACUAAAGAGCAAAGGUGAAUAUCGAGUAUUGCAAUGACCAAGUAAAGGUUUCAACCCUAUUAUGAAUACGGUUAAAAAGAAACAUGAUACACAAGAAAUUAUCAGAAAAUGGUGUACUGACCCUUUCGCAUCCUUGUGUAGCAUUGGUGUAAUAGUCUGAACUACAAGUGGAAUCAUCACCUGUUGUGCAGCUAGUGAUGGGAGCAAUCCCAGAAGUUUUGUCUGCAAGUCAAAGAAAUUAAAUGGGAACUAGACUAAAGGAAAAAUAAAUAAAAGAAACAAACACUUAAAUUUGAAGAUAAAGGAGUUAACAAAAAAUGAAUGAGAGUAGUCUCACCAAUAGACUCUGACAAGGAACGUCAGUUCGAGAUAACAAGUUGCUGUAAUAUAGAACAACUAGCAAUAGCGGGACACUCAUCUUCGGGUCAAUGCCACCAAUAGCACUCAAAGAAUCAAUAGCCUCAGGUCCUAGGGAUGGAUGCAUCACCAAGACACCAGCAACAGCACCAAGUAAAAUAGGUAUCACUUGCGAAAGACUAAACGAUCCAGAUAACUUUUUCCUAUCACAAAACCUUUCAGCAUGUUCCAUAAGUAGUGAAUUCCAAGUCGCUGAUCCAGGAUAACUUUCCUGUGUUUCACUUCCAUUGAUGUAAGCCACUCUGAGGAAGGAAGACGUGGAAGGUGCAUAGUCAUUCUGGAAAAAAAAAGAACAUUCAAAGACUCAGUGAGCAAUUUGAUUCUUAGUUUCUUUUGAGAAAUAUAUUGAUAUGGGCAUAAAUCAAAUAAAUAUGCGUAACUCUCGAAGGAGUAGCCAUUUAAAAUAACCUAACCCAUGAGUGGAUCUAUGCAACGUAUUAUAGAAAAUAGCAGGUUCCUCCACAGAAAUUAAACCUGAUGCCAGAGUUGCUGCAUCAUCCUAAAUACGACAGAGCCCACCCGGCUGAGUGGUGAAUAUUCCUUACUUGUGUGGACCUCAAUCUUUGGUGCAUUUGACAUUGUUACCAAGACAUUUUCUACGAUGGAAAGAACCUUACUUGCUGCACCUUUGACUGAUUUAGAAGGAGAAGACAUCAGUGCGAUGAUAGGGAAAAAUAAUAGAGGCUCCACACUUGAACAGGCUGCAUCUACCGACAAAUUUUCUACAAAAGAAUUGAAAAGAAUCAAUUCUCAGUCAACAGAAAAUGCACACAUCACUUUUUGUUUGCCAAAAUAUAAAGAAACAGGGAGUCAUGCUAUAGCAAGACACACCAAGUUGACUAGUAUAAAUUAGCUACUACACUAAUAGACAAUAAAUCGAGCAAGAGUGUAAUGACAAGAAGACGGAGACUCGGAUAUACCAUUUUCACUUUUCCAUUUGAGCAAAAAAUGCAGGAACUUUAAAAUGGAGAGUUGCUCAUGCUCAACACUGGACUUGGCAAGCAUGAAAACUAGCGAGAGAACCACCAAGGAUAAAUCACUUGAAUAUGUUAAUCCAAGGUCUUUCUGAACAGCUAAUAAGUGCCUCAAUGAUUCGAUCACAGGCUCUUGUUCGGUGUUUUGGACAUGAGGAGAGGCACAAAGCAAAAGUACGGUAUCUACCAGUUGCACACCAAGCAGAUGAACUUCCAUUACUUCCUGUUAAUAUAGAUAAAUGAAUGAGUGUCGGAGAAUGAGCACAAAGAUAAAGAUGAAGGCAUGAUGAGGCAAUAAGCACAUACCAAUCUAGUUCCAACCAAGUCUCUCGCAACCACAGUGUAGGCAUCCACUAGAGUCUUGACAAUGCAGCUGAAAUUUCUAUUGUCCUGAAUAGUUUCAUAAAUUUAGAACAGCGUCCUAGAAUUGCAUCUGAUUACGUGCAUUCAACAAACUGACUGACAGUGAAAGCUAUCGAAAUACUCAGGCAAACAUGUAAACUUACUUCCAGAUUUUUGCCCGGGAUAUAAUUCAGGCAGCGGAUAAGCAAUCUGAAUACUGGCAAUGCUUCGUGGCGGCAUGAGCAACAAAGAGAAGCCAUUGAUGAAACUAAUUCCCUCGCAAACAAAGAUGACGAUGAAUCUGUAAGUGGGAUACGCAGUAUUGUGAAAUUCAGGAACGGCUCCAAACAUUCACAUACUCCCACCAUUCCCAAUCGCCGAUUAUGCAUCACAAAGAGUGAUACUUGGUGAAGAAGCUCCGUCUGUGCCUCCGCUCGACUAGAAAGAAUCUACAACCAACAACAAGGAGAAGCAUCAAGGACUUACUAAUUUCGGCUUAAUUUUCACGGAACAUGGACGCAUCCAUGGAUCACAUACCCUGACAAACGGAUGAUUCUCCGUCGAAUUGAACUUCCAAUUCCCAUCUUUCUGUUCGUAACCAAUUCGAAUCAAAAACCCUAAACCCUUCACAAAGAGGGGAACUAAUUUCGAGUCGCAUCCUUCGAGUGCUGAUUGGAGUUCCAGCAAACCGCGGGAGAGGUCCAGAACGGAGUCUGAUACUAAUCGACAUAGCUCACGAACGGAUUGAUCAACGACAGUGGGAGAUGCGGAGGUGAGGCAGAAGGAGAUAGCUUCUCUUCCGGCUUCGGAUUCCGAACCCAAUCGUUCUGGAGCAGAUCGUAACUUGGAGAAAACGGAAAUCACAGCGAAUCUCUGUAUGGAAGGUUGAGGGACGCGAGUUUUCUCCAGUAACGUAGUAUACGAGGCCAUCACUUUGACCAGAAGAGAGAAAAGAAGCAACGGUCACUUCGGAGGCGUGAACGGAGGGCUGAGGAAUUUUUCAGCUCCGGGAAGGGAAAGUCCGACCAGCCGGCACUCGAUAACGGGCCGUCCCGAUUUGGCCCAAUAAGCCAAAAUCAAAAACUAAGGGAAAUUGCGUAAAUGAACCCUGACUUUUACCAAAAACAAUAACUAAACCCCCUAACAUUUUUUGAGGGAUAUAAAAACACCCACCUUUAAGGUAAUGUACGUAUCUAUCGAUUUCCGACAAAAGUAUAUAAUAUGUACCAUCAAGAUAACAAAGGUUUUAUGCAAUAGGUGGGUAUGUCAUUUCCCAAGUUUUGAAAAAUGUCAAAUUGUUUGAGUCGUUUAAUAUCAUCAGUGAUAGACGAUACCGGUUUCGAAUGCUUAAAGAUAUUCAAAUACAUAACAUAACAAGCAAUGUAUGAAAGAUCAGCAUGAUAGACAGGCCGUACAACAAAAGAUGUAACCCAAAAGUUAUAAAAUUACUCAUUAAACAAAGAAAUAAAGUACAAGCUCACACUUCAAUAUAAGGAUUGAUCAUGGUAGAGACAAGUAUAUAUUAUCGUCAAUGUAAGGACUGAUUUUUCUUGCAUAUGUCGUUGAUGCGUGGUGAAUAAUAUCUCAUUUAUCUCUCAUAUGAUUCAACUCCUAACACAUACUAAAAAACUUGACAAUGGCUUAAAGAUCCAUGUUUACGGUUACCUUCGAUGACUUAGAAUUUGUCUCAUCCUUUAAACCAGUCAUAAAAUCUUAGUUAGAGGAUGGUAUGGAUUUCUGUUAGAAGUUGAGUUCUCUCUAUCUAAGAACUUUCAUUUUGUGUUUAUUUUUAUAGACAUUUUUAACGGUAUAAAAUCCACUUUUUAAAAAAUAAACUCCAAAAAUUCAUCUGGAUCUGGUAUGAAAUAUCUCGCUAUCUCAGAAAAGAGGAAAGAAAAACAGGUUUAUUAGGUUCCAAAAAAAAAAAAAACAGGUUUAUUUUGUUUUUUAUUUCACUCACAAGGUAUUUUUAUUCGGACACGACAGAACGUCAAAACGAACGUACAACAUAUUGACAAAAUAUUCUAGAAGGAAGAAACUGGGACAUAAAAGUAGAAUUACACAAUUGCCGUUCCAACAGAAGCCCACAAUUUUAUGAUCCAAACGACCUCCUUCCCUUACCCUGCUCGGUGGUCUCAGUGGUCAGACUAGUCUCACGGGCUUCAUGGGCCUUAUCUUGCACAUACUGGCCCAUCUCUUUACCUUUCUGACCAGCAUAGCCUACCGCAUCAGCCAUACGCCGUUUGGCAUAGUCCAAUUGCUCCGGGACUGUAUCACUCGUCCCACGGAGGUAGUUUAGGACCCAUGAGACCGAGCUUAGACCCGUCAGCCCAAACAUCCCAGAGGCCAAGAUUCCGGUCACAGCAAGACCGAUGGUGAGAGCUGCCGGGACAAUCACCGGACUGAAGAGGAGGAAGAGCGGGAUUGAGAGCAUCAAACCUAUCACCGAGCCAGCUAGAGUGAGUCCAGCUAGGGCUAGUAGUGAGCCACCGAUGGGAACUCCUGCUAUAAGUGCCACGAUCUGCAUGUAUCAAUUAUUAUCUUUAGUUACUUUAAAUUUUGUUAUGAGUAAUGUCAAAAUUGUUAAAUCCAAGGAUGACCAUCUGGAUAUGAUCCUAUAUACAUGCUUGCAUAUAACCAUCUAUAUGCAUGCAUAACCACCUUUUGUAUAUUUUUGCAUAUAUUGAUUUCAAUAGUUCGGAGCGCUUAUGAUUUUCAACACAUAUUAGUGGAUAAUUUAGUUCUUUUUUAAAAAAAAUUCAGAAACUUCUUUAAAUAGUUCUUGGUAAGAAACAAAAAAAUAUGUAAUAAAAGAGAAGAAACAAAAAAGAUACUUGGUUAGUGGAGGGGCCCCGACUCUUGUAAUCAGAACCAGCACCAUAACCAUAACCAUAGCCAUAACCAACAUCAUCUUCAUAGCUCGGCUGUAGAGGGCUACGUUUGUCAGUUCGGUCGACAUGCACACGCCUGUCCACGUUCGCCAUAUCGACUGAUAUAAUGAUUUAAACUAAAAGAGCCAAGUCUAAGAGAACACAAAAUGGGAUAUAAAGAGAUAGAACAUAUACGUAUAUAUAAAUGGGAUUGAAAUAUUUUUUUUCUUUGUAUAAGGGAAUUUGGAGUGAAGAAAAGAGGACACGUAAGGAUGUGUUGAAGGAAGAGGUGUGGCUUUGCAUGAUUUCCAAGUUUCAUUCUUUACCUGAUCAUCUUUUCCUCCUUCUCCUCCCACCGUAUUCAAAUAAAAACAAACAUUUAUUCGGUUUAAUUACCAUUGCUCUCCUUUCGAUGCAUCCAUAUUUCACUUGUGCGUUGUGAAGUUGUGUAACAAAGACAUCUUUCCUAUUAAAUAUUUUGCUGUUAAGUUAUUUUCAAUUUUGUGAAGAAGCAAAAGUUCUUCCAAUAUCGAUCAUUCGAUCCAGUUAAUUCGACCCGCUAAGAGAAUAUUUUAAUUUUAUCGAACCUAAGUUUAGGAACAUAAAUAUUAAAUGAUAGCCAAAGGUUGCUGGUAAUCAGUAACACUGUUUGUUUGUUAGCUACACAUUAAGUGACUAGCUAGAAAGCUUUGGGUGAAUUAUAAUGAGAAGAAAAACAUUUUACAUUUCACAUUGUUUCUCUCUUUUCUAGGUGUGGAUCUUGAUAUACAUUCUCUUUGUUCAUCAAAAAAAGAAGUUGCCCUUGUGACUUUAAAUUAUAGUUGCAAUAUUAAUUUAUGUCCACUCUUUUAAUGGCUUUUUACAUGUUUAUGUACCAUUUAUUUAUCUAUCUAAAAUUGAAAUUUGGUGGUAUGUACAAGAUGUGCCACUAAAUUAAUCAAUGUAAAUCGGAAUAAGCUCUCGUUUAACAAUAACUGUAAAUGAAAUCCAGACUAAAUCCAUAAACGUCUAAAAAAUUGGAUAUUUAAGACGUAUACGCUGAUUAACGGCUUUGAGUGAAAUUUCAUUUUUAAGCUACUUAAUAGACCAUUUUCUUCUCAAAAAGAAAAUAACCAACACGGAGAAAACUAAUACGAAAAAAGAAAAGGUAAAAAGAGUUAGAAAUUAUAUCAAAUUAUAUACAUAUAUUGUCUAUAUUGGUAUAACAAUUGAUUGAUCGCUUUUAUAACACGAGCACAUUGUGGUGGCCCAGUGGCUUUAGUUAGUAGAAUCCUUUUGUCUUACAGAGGUCUAAUCAAGAAGAAGAAAAAGAUAUAAUCGAAUCAAGCAAUUUCAACAGUAAAAACGACGCCGUCCGUGGAACAAGGCUUUUUCAUUCGGUUCUGUUAUUGGACAUUUCUAAGCUAUUGGGCGGUUCAGUGGUGGUCCACUGCUACUUGAUAAUGAGAUGACAAACUUCUCUCUCACUUUCUCUUGGUCCACAAAUUGGGCCCAUCUAUGGCCCAUUUACGUUUUCUUUUGGUGUGCUCUUCGCCUUUUCAGCGAUGAGAUUGAUUUCAAACUUGGAUUUAACCUGUUUAAAGUUAGGUCUAUGGCUAAAAUCGCAAGUACUAAAACAGUAGGUUUUCUUUGGAUGGGGACAUUAGUACAAUAGUUUCGCUGGAGUUUUAUAUGGUCACUAAGUCCAUUUUUUUGCAUAUAGAAAAGUUUAAUUGCGAGAAAAAAGGUUUUAACCCGUGACAAAAUAUAAAUAUCGACUAGUUUUUUUUUUUUUGGUUUUCUUUCAAAUUUCAUAAGAUGUGGAAAUUUCAUUGAAAAAUUGUUAUCAUUUUGUAAUGAUCUCAAUAAAGAAAAGGGAUGGGAGAACUGAAGGAGAAUGAAGGAGACGGAGGGAAUAAUUGAGGAAAAGUCUAAAGAUGUGUACAAUAUGAGAUGAUCUAUCACAUGGCAAAACAAUCAUAUUUCUGCAAUAGACUGUGAUAGUGUAGUAAAUAAAAUGUUACAAUUAAAAAAAGACGAAGACUAAAAUGAAAUGAUAGCAGAAUUUGUACCUUUAGUUACUGUUUCUGAAACUGACUCAUGUCUGAACACAAUCUUGAAUCCCCGUGUCUUGAAGUCGACACGCAUGGAUCAGAAAAUAUACGUAUGUUUUCUUUUUUGUCAGCAAAUAUACGUAUAUAUGUAGCUUAUGUACAUCUAAUAUAUAUCUAUCUGUACACAAUACAUUCAUAACUCAUAGACACACUUUUUCAUAGUGUAUAUUCUUUAUAUAUAUAUAGAUAUAUAUAUAAACAUGUGAAUAGUCAAUGCUUAAAAAAAAAACAUGUGAAUCUAUACACAACCGACGAGAUCCAUGUUAAAUAGCUCAACUGAUUCCUUCUAAAGUUGUUGUGAUAUGUUCCAAGCACAAAUGAUCUAAAGAGUAUUGAAGCACAAAUAAACAUGACACGUCUCACUGGCUUCGCUUUACGCAAUUGAAAAGGUUGAACUGUUAAUGUAAACCUAUCGAUAAAACUCUAAAAGAAAAAGAAAAAAAAAAACUAAAGAGGUAAUAAAGACAGUUUAUUGCCUUCGAUAUUUUAAAAAAAUGUAAUUCUAGUUUAGUUUUUACGUUUCAUAGAAAAUAUUAAUUAAAAAUGAAACUAAUUUUAGCAAAAAAAAAAAUAAUGAAACCGGAUCAUUAAAUAAUUUUUUUCUUCAUCAUGUGGAAUCUCGAUGGAUACUUAAUGGGUCUGUAAUAAACAUUUUCACCGGAUAUUCAAAACUAUAUACUUAGAUUACAUAUAUAUAUAUAUUUCUCAGUUUUUUUUAAUGAUACCAAUCUUAAUUAAUGAUCUAAAAAGGUGAAUUUGGAGUUGGUUUUGGGUGAGUUGAUUUGUAUGUGAAUAUGUUUUGGUUGUUAGGUCGUCGCCAAAUGACAUGAAAUAAAAAUGGACCGGCUUUAAAAAGAGAUUCCCUACGAAGACGUGUGCCUAAAUAAAGGUACUAAAACUUGAUGUUUUCAAUUUUCAGCAAUUGAUUAUUUAUUCAAACUUUUUCUUAAGUCGACAAAAUAUAUAAAAUCACUCGAUCAACUUAGAAUAUUAGCGAAAUGAUGUUACUGACCAGUGACUAGUGUGUGAUAUCAAACGACCAAUUAUCAGACUACUUUCCUAUGAGUCUAUCUAAAACUGUCGACAUGCAAUUUUCUAUGCUUUUAAUACCAUUAUUUAAUAUUGGUGUUGCUUCAAUUUAGUAUCACAAUUGAACGAAACUUUAAAAUGCUAAAAAAGGUUGGUCAUGAAUCGAUGAAAUAUGUGUCUAAAGGGGACUGUCCGAAUCAGUACACAUCCCUUUUUUCUAUCCUGCUAAUAAUGAGAUGAUUUUGGUUGAAAUACUUUUGGUCGAAGUUAGCUUAGCACAUUUUUAGCAACUAUUUUGAGGUUAAACUAUAAAAAUCAUAGUUUUUUAUGAUUUAUU